UUUUUUUUUUUCAGUUUACCAAACACAAAAAUGACCAUCAGUUUUUUUUCACAGUGGCUUUUUUUAAAAUCACCUCAAUCCCAAACGGGGCCUUAGUAAUCACAAAUACUUAUCGAAAACUAGACAACAACCUUCACUAAGUUUUUGUGCUGCACUUUCGACAUCAUUGCCACUUCCCUCGCAAACCGCUCUUCUCUCUUGGCAAUCUGCUCUGGGGUUUCUCCUCUAUGAACAUUUUUUACAGCAACUUUUUGACUCUUAUAUCUAGAACAAACAAACGCAACCACCAAACAGAUUAAGAACACAACAGAACAGAACAUCAUCGUUGUAACUCGACACGAAAAACACAUAUUCGGCAUCAUAAACACCAUAAUUGCAGAACACCAAAUCAAGUUUUGAUCUUUGAUUAGUUCUGCAAAAACCCAACUCAAAUUUGCAUUUAUAUUUAACAAGAUCUAAGGCAUCAUAUUAAAUUGCUAAACUUGAGAGACCAGAAAUUCAGAAUUUAAGACAAACAAAAGAUGUUUUGGAUCGAUCAGCCACUUGGCAUCCAAAUCGAAAUCCCCAACUGAAUAAACCCCAUUACCAGAUCCCAUAAUUUUCUCUCUCUAAAAUUCAACAAGAACAAAACAAGAACAACAUACACUGACUAAUUAACCAAAACAAAGGGUACCCUUUAUUUGUAGGACCACAUUUGAAGUAAAGAUGAAAGCUUUGGUCUGGAUAAAAAUGGAAAAAAUUAAUAAAAUCAGCAGACUUCGUAUGAUUGGAGAGGGAGAAAGAUGAAGACUUUCUAUAAUAAAAGGACUUGCUUGGUACUGUAGGUUUCAGAAAACAGACCCAUCCCCGGAAUCACGGUUGAGGAUCCUACAAAGAAUUUAGCACAAGAUUGUUUGCCCUCCCACUUCCGGUGCCCUCUCAUGUCCUUCUGUUUUGUGUGGUCACGAUUAAGCCAUAUCAAUAUUUUAUAUUGUUUUUUUUAUAGAGAUAAUAAGAUAAAAAUAAAUAGUAAUAUAAAAUAUUGAUGUAGCUUAACCGUGACCAUACAAACAGAAGGGUACAUGAGGGCACUAGAAGUGAGAGGGCAGACAAUCCUUGUCCAAAAAUAAAAUCCCAGAGGCACCCACCAACAACCCUACAAUAUAAAAAGGAGGUGGAUUUUCUGCUCUCUCAUUUCCAUACUCUUCCCAUUCCCUUCUGUUUGUGUUAUCACGGUUAGGCCACGUUAACAUUUUAUAUUCAUAUUAUUUUUUAUUUUAUUAUUUUUAUAAAAAAAAUAAUAUAAAAUGUUGAUGUGACUUAAUCGUGACCACACAUCACAGAGGAGAUGAGGAAAGUAUGAAAAUAUGAGGCAAGACAAUCCGCCUCCAUAUAAAAAUGGUCACUGAUGAGAGCUCUAUCAGUGGGAGUGGAUUAGAUUUAUUAUUGGGAAUUGGGGAGAGAGAGGAAUCAGUAGAAGAGCAAGCAGAUAGAGUUGAGCAAGGCAGAGGAGGAUGAAACUGAGAGGAGGUGGAGAUUUGGGAACUUGGUGGCGGCGAUGGUGGCGGUGGGCGGGUGGGAAGUGAGUUCAGUUGAGAUUAAUUUAUUGGCCUUCUCCGCGAGUGGAAUGUUAUUGUCUUGUCUUCUAGAUCCAAAGAUAAACUAGUCUCUGUCAGAGAAUAGUGUGUUUCCUUUGUUUUUCUUCCUUUCUACCUCAUUUUCCCUUAUUUAUACUAGCAAGAAUAAAAAUUUAUAAUAAGAGAAAAUGUAAAUUGAUUUCUAAAUUUUUUUUCUUUAUGAUAUUCAAAUGAUUUUGCCUUGCUGAAUGAGACUGUUCAUAUCUUUGACUACUAGUUCUGAAUAAAUAUUUCUUUAACUAAAAGUUUACAAGGCAACUGAAAUGAUUACUUAGUUAUAAGACUUUGGAAAAAAAAUUACAAGUAUUUUGUGUGCAAUUUACUAUAUUAUGCAUAACUUUUAAUAUAUUAAUUUAUUUAAGUUAAUUUGGUCUUUUAACUUUUAUUUGGUUGAUUAAAAGAGUUUUGUUGAUAGGUAGUUUAGAUUAUAAUAAAAUAAAAUAAUUACUAAAUAAAUAGUUUUUUUAAUAAUAUGAUAUUAUGUACAUUAAGUGGUGGAGGGAGUGAGUUAAGCUUCACAAUGAGAUAGUCAUAAUAAUUUGUUCAAAUUUAUCUUAAUGAUAAUCGAACUUAAGACUUCUUAUGUAUGAGAGAUUUUUCAAUUUACUAGAAACACAUUGUAAAAAUACAAUUGGUUGGAAACUUAAAAAAUACAAUUUCAAACUAUUUUAUUAUGACACUUGGUGUAUCAAGUCAUGUUUAGUGUUCACACCACACUGAAAAUUUUCUCCUCACUUACAAGUCAAAAGGAAUACUAUUAAAUCGUAAUAUAAGUGACUACUAAAUAACUAAUUUAUAUAUUUGAUUUUUAAAAGUUUAGGGGAAAGGAAAGCUAAUCCAUCAAGGCCAAGGCAUAUAACAAGUAUCCUCGAGAACUUACACAAGGGGUCUUAGUCCUUUUUUUGUUUUUACAGAUCUUGCACAAAAAAUGGUUGCUUACAAUGGAACUCAAACAUAGACCUUGCAACUCAACCAAUCCUCAGUGGAAAAUACACAUGUAUUUGAGCAAUCUUUUAAUUAAUUUAAACUAAAUUAUCGAGUCAAAACUCCAUGCAAUAAACAUAUUGUUUUAAUUAAAUUAUUCAUAUACAAUAAUAAAAUGUCUAUUUAUAUCAUAGAUUCUAAGAUUUGAUAAAGAGAAUAUUUCCAAGAUGUGCAUAGACAUAAAACACAUACACACUACUCUAACUAAAUUAAUCAAGAACAAUUCUGCAAGAAAAUGGAAGAUAUGUGACUUUUAUUUAUUUCCUAGAUUCUAAGAAGGAUAAGAAAAUGUUGUCGGAGAAAAAGAAAGGUAAACGGGCGAUAAGAAGACGAAUACAACACAAUGAUACAAUUGGGGCUUCGAGAAAGUGCCCUUUUGGUAUCCACUAAGGCCAAAAACCCAUCACAAUAAUUGAAUUACCAAUGUCUUAUUAGAAAGUAAAACACAUUAUUUUGGCGAUUUUGAAACUUGAAUGACAAAUAUGACAUAGACAAUAAGGAUGUGUGACUCAGAUACCAGGUUGGAGGAAAAUGGACUGAAGUACAAAGGUUAAGGCAAGGAGAUAUGUGAGAGGUAUUACAUGAGUUAAUUAUCAAAUUAUUAUGACAUAUUUUAUCGCGUUUUUUAUGAGAGAUUUUUUAGUGUGCUGAAAACACAGCUCGAUACAUCAAGUGUCAUCACAUAACUGAUUGGAUACUUGAAAAAAAUAAAAUUCAACUUGUAUGAUGACACUUGAUUUAUCGGGUUGUAUUCCGGCACACUAAAAAGUUGUCAUCUCCUAGUUCAGAUAUACUGCUCUUUAUUUUAAACACAUCUUUGUACUCAUUAAAAGACAAAAAGACAAGCAAAUAUUUUGGUCCCAGUAUGCAAGAACCAUACAAUAUACUUAGAAAUAUCAAGCAUCCCGUUGGAAAUCAACUGUAAGGCAAAUAUUAUCAACGAAACAAAAGAAGGAAUUGCACAAUUCAUUUGGUGAUUAGGCGAACUAACAACAAAAAAAAUAUAAAAAAUAACGAGUCAAUAAUUUAAACACUGAACUAAAUGAUCCUUACGAAGAUGUGGGUUGUUGAAGAGUUAGAUCAUCACUUUCCUUAACUACACCAAACAACAUACUCCAAAUGGCUUUUGCAAUCAUUGUUUUACCUAUACCGCCCAUACUUCAAAUUCCAAUUAUUUGAACAUCAGGUGAACCUCCAACAUCCAAGUAUUUAGUACUGAAUUCUUGCACGCAAAAAGUUGUUCCAACUGAGUGCUUGGUUUCUUUUAAGUCUGUAGUUUUCAGUAGUCUCCUAAUGUCUCCAACAAUUUUCUCGAUAAACAAUCAUUGAUGUCUCGCGGUUAAAAUUCAAAAUUAUACAAAAGUAAGAUUCAUCAUGCAACUGCAAGAUUUAUAUCAACUAAAGGCUUUUGAUUCAAAAUGGUCCCUGAGAUUUGCAUCAUCCAUAAGUUUGGUCCCUGAGAUUUAAAAUUAAUAGAAGUAGUCCCUGCGAUUGUCCACCAUCCAUGAUUUUAGUCCUUCCGCUAAAGUUUUUGGCCAGAAGUUGGGCAAUUUUCAAAGCUUCGUAACUCAAUCGUUUUUUAACCAAAUUCGACCCAUAAUAUAUCAAAAUGAAGAUAGGAAAGUGUAGAAUAAGAUUAUAUCUAUUUGGAAGCCCAAUCAAUGGAAAACUGGAAAACUUGCCGGAAACUCGCCGAAAACUGGGUAAAUUUUAAACAUUCAUAACUUCUUCAAUACUCAACGAAAUCAAGUGAUUCAAAAACAAAAACCAUACUUCUCAACAAGAAGAAGAGAAUGGUACCUUUUUAAAUGGCUAACUCGCCUUGGUUUGGCCGGAAAACGGCUCGAAAGUGGCUGUUGAAAAACGAGUUAGCAACUUUCGAGCCGUUUUCCGGCCAAACCAAGGCUUUUUAGCCGUUAAAAAAGGUACCAUUCUCUUCUUCUCGUCGAGAAGUAUGAUUUUUGUUUUUGAAUCACUUAAUUUUAUUGAAGACGUUAUGAACGUUUAAAGUUUAUCCAGUUUCCGGCGAGUUUUCCAGUUUUUCCUCGGACCAGUCAAUUUUGAGGCUAUUUUCCGACCAUCGUCGGCAACCAUUGGGCUUCCAAAUAGAUAUAAUCUUAUUCUAUACUUUCCUAUUUUCAUUUUGAUAUAUUACGGGUCGAAUUUGGUUAAGAAACGAUUGAGUUACGAAGCUUUGAAAAUUGCCCAAACUUCCGGCCAAAAGCUUCAACGGAAGGACCAAAAUCAUGGAUGGUGGACAAUCUUAGGGACAACUUCUAUUGAUUUUAAACCUCAGGGACCAAACUUAUGGAUGAUGCAAAUCUUAGGGACCAUUUUGAAUAAAAAACCUCAACUAAAUGCCUCAUUCAUCAUGAUUAGAUAUUUUGGUAGCGAAAACGUUUUGAAUAAGUUAGAUUUGAUCGAGAUGACUAGUUAAGUUCAAUUUAGCCGUGUUUCUGAAAUGCAUUGUAACCGUAUUAGUUAAGCUCAGUUAGAUUGCUCAUGAACUAUAAGAAGGCGUUUGUUUGCCCUCACUAAACCGUAUUAUAGCUUUUAGUCAUACAAUUAGAAAUCCAUUAGAAUUAGUAUAUGGGUUUGACAUACGGAGGAUUCGUCCUUCACGCAUUACCAAAAGCUCCAAAGUUUUUUCCUAUAAACGUAUAAAAUCAAAGUCUGAUCAUAAUCUCCUUAUUUUUGGUGAAUUAGUGAGUCUUAGAAGCUAAUACAAGACAUUGGAAUUAAAUUUAGAGGAAAAAUUAAAAUACCUGUCCGCUGUGGUUUUAAGAUUCCGGCCACACAAAUCUGCAGAAGCCUUAAGAUCCUUCUCCACUGCUCGACCUCAUCUGGAUCUUCAUCCCUUUCAUGCUAACAAAGUUAAAAGAAUAAGGUAAAGUGAGACACCUAAUAAAAGUUUAGGUGGUAAAGUGAACAAAUGAGCAUAUAGAGUGAAGUAAAAUUUUGUCUACAUAAGUGUCAUAGAAAUGCCUUUAAUAUUUUUUACAUAUAGAAAAUAAAUAGGGUUAAUUACAUCGAUGUUCCCUGAAUUUGUCAUUUAUCUUCAUUUUCAUUCUUAAACAUUUUAUUUGUUUUAUAUGAUCUUCAAGCUCGCUAUUGCAUGACUUUUUUUUUUAUAUCCUUUUCGUCAACUUCAUCUAUUUUUCUAUUAAGUAGAGAUGAUAAAUUUAAAAUUCAUCCCACAACCUAAAAAAUGGGAAAAAGGAGGUGGAUGUACAAAAUUCUUGCUAUGCCCUCUAUAUUUAACAGAAAAAUAAAAAUAAAUUGGUCAAAAAUAGAUUUUGUUAGAUUAGUCACUAACGGGGUUCAAACUCACACCGUCAUGCAAGAUCUUAACUCAUUUCCACCACUAUAGUAAAGGGCCACUUGCAACCAAAAAAUAAAUUGAAUUAAUGGAUAUAAUUGAAUCACCACAUGAGAGAGUUUGAGAACCACAAUAAGAAAAAAAAAAAAGAAAAACUAUUCUAGAACGAAAGUAAAAUUCUUGACAACAAUGUUGUAUAUUUGAAAAAUAGUUCAAGCAGAUUAAGAUGUUAGCACAGAGUCAUUUAUCUCGUUUAUUGAACAAACAACGAGGACAUCAAUGCCGUUUUUUCUCUUUUGAAAUUCCUAAACAACAAAAUUGAGAUUUCUUUCACAAAAAUUACCAUAAAUUUUGACAAAAUUGACGGUCGAAUUAUAAAUCCAGCAGGCAAAUCGAAAACAAUCACAGGAGCUUAGAACACACCACAUCAACAUUUAGCAAGCAGUCUCAUAGGAAAUCCCAAUCAAGAUAAAACUAUUCAACAAUUUAUUACAUUUCGUUCAUAUAAGAGCAUGGUUAGGAGGAUUAUUUAAUUGACGUUAUAACAUCUUUCUACAAAGAAAAAAAUGAAAAAGAAAAUAGGGCCUCGGCACCCGUGGCAAAACCCAACAUGGAUUAGAGUACGUUUCAGCCUGACCUUCUGUAAAAGCUAUAGGCCACAGCCACUGUUGCCACUGCUCCAACCACGGCAGCAGCUGCGAGAACAUCGCUUUGCUCCCAGUUCCCAAUCAAGCUUGACAGCUUCCGUAAGGCAUCCUUUGUGGCACACGACUCUGUGGUUUCUUUCGACUUCAUUUCCUCACUUCCACCGUUCUCCUCCAAACUUACUUCUUUGCAGCAUGUAAAUCCAUCACUAUUAGCACCCUGGCAACAGCUUGAAAAGUUCUCAUUAUUCUCAAUAUGAUUGCCCUUUUCUUGGUGAAUCUGAUUGCUAUUUUCAUGUGGCUUCUCCUUGAUUUUCUUAUUUUCUUCUCCAUUUGGAAGUUCCCGGUCAUUAAUUUGUUCAGCUUCAUCAGAAAAUGCUCCCAUUUGGCCUCUGUAAGGAAUGAAAUUGAAUUUCGUGUUCAGCUAUUUAAAGAUUCAACUCUUAAGUUUCUUCAAUGCAGUUACAUCCAAUUUAGAAACAUAUACAGAGUAAUACUGUUGUAUCCAAUUCUUUUGUGCUUUCUCCACAGAAGUUCCUCGAUGUUAUUGUAACUCUAUAUCAAUAAAUCUAUCAUACAAGACUAGACAUAACCAUCAAUUGAAAAAUAUGACAACACAAGCUUCCGUCCAGUGAAAUUUUCAUCCAAAGACAAUAGGCAAAACCGAAAAUCUACAAACCUCCAAAGUCGUUCUAUAAUCUCUCCCUUCCCAAUAUGCUCAUCAAGCAAUUCCGGCACAUCAUCAGGAGUGACGUAGCCAUACCUGCAAUUAAUAAUACAUAAUAUUCAAAUUUCAUCGAUCCCAAUACGACAAAAUUUUAGAUUGUUAUGAUCCGAAUAUUACCAAUGGCCUGUUAUGCUUCCAUCUGAACCUGGGCUGUAGAUAAUCAAGUUUCCAUUGUGGCCUCCAGUGUGAAAGCAAGCAGCAACAAAUAUCUGAUUCGUCAAUCCUCGUAGCUCAGCCUCCUCUUUGAACUUAUUAAUGAGAACACAUGCACUAUCACGAUUCCAUUCCUCUCGACUACCAUGUGCACAUACAAAUACAUAGGAGCCAGUCAACGACUCUUGCACUCCGGAAGCCCAUGGUUUGUGAUUCACAAGGACAUCAUCAACAAAGCUGCCCACAUCCGACUCUUUCAAGCCCCUUUGACAACAAACAAAAACAACCUCAUAAUCACAAAAAGGGAUUUACAGGCAAGGAAUUAGUCGUAAACUGAGCCAUUAAAUUCAAAGGAAAACUAAUGAAAAGAGCUUGAAAACUUUGAGUUUUAACGAUAAGGACAAAAUAAAGGGUAAAGUGAAUAGUACCAGGAUUGACUUUUUAGUGCAAAAAUGUGGUUUUUCGUUAAAGUGAAAAGUACCAAGAGCUUUUCGUUAAGGUUCCCUAAAUUCAAUUUCUACAACUAAUUUCAGAAGCUAACACACAUCUAAUCAUCUAUUUAGGUCAGUGGAUUCAUGUUGGUUAUGGAAUGGGCCCUCCAUUAUGAAUUAAUUACGGUUUGCCAUUGUGUGUGUUAGUGUGGGCCGUGCUUAACAGCUGGGUUGGGCUGCUGCAUUUGGGCCCAGGGUGCAGCUCUCACGGGUUUUGGGCUGGGUUUCACCGAAAUAUCAAAUGACUCUUUUGCCCCCUUCAGUCCUAAUCCGACGGCCACCAUUUGCGGCGUUUGUGGUCUGCAAUUCGGUGGGGGGGGGAGGUGGGGUUAGCUUGCUUUCAAUCUCGUCAAGGAGUUCGUGCAGAGAGGCAGGGGAUGACAUCAAGUUUAGGGUGUGCACAGUGAGAGAGAAGAGGGUAGGAGCUAGAGAGAGGGGGGUGGGUUCUGUCCGCGGACGUAGGUUGCAGAGAGACAGAGAUGGGGAAAAGUAUGGGGGUGGGGUUGAGGGGAACGUGUACACAGAGAGAGUGAGGAAGGGACAUAGGAGCUAGAGGUAUGGGAAAGGAGUCGAGGAGUUGAGGAGUCGAGGGGUUGAGGGGUUGAGGGGUUGAUUUGUCAGGGGCUGCUGCAUCCUUCCUAUUCAAAAGGUAACAAAUAAUUUUCAAUUCAUUCUUUACCCUUGAAUGUGGAUUUACUGUUCGGGGUUGAGGAGGACAUCAUAUAUCUUCCCUUUUUCUGAAUUUUAGUUCUGUCUUCUUCGACUCUUAUAUCUUCCCUUUUUCUGAAUUUUCUUUAUUUCUCAUCCUUUAAACUUUGUAUUUUUUUUAAAUAUUUAUUUUUUUGGUGAUGCAGAUAGAUGAACAUGUUCAAAGGGGAAUCAUGAACCACAGAUCACUGCAUCCGAAUAUAGUUUGAUUCAAAGAGGUCAGUGAUCAUAAACUAUUUUCAUUUUGUAUUUUAAGAAUGAAUUUGGCAAGUUUUGUUUGAAUUUUGUAUAAGUAUCUGCUGAGGGUGGGUGGAUGAAGACAGAACAAACUAAAUUUGGCCUCUGGUGUGCUUAAACUGGUACGGGGGAGGGUUAGAACUUUGAGCCCAUGAUGCAGUAGGACUAGAGAAAUGCGGCAAUCCACCACUUGCAGAAUUAUUGUCAAAAUAACUCUGCUAAAAAUAUGAGCUAUGCUUCCUGCACUUUGUUUUUACUGUGAAGUGGAAAUAGUCUUUAGCGUGGCUUAUUUGUGAUAAUUGAUAAAGAGGUUAGUGUUUAAGACUUGAGAGUAGUGCGGUGUCUUUCUCGCUGGUUCUGAUGAUGGAGUACACGGCUGGGUGAGAACUCUUCGAGGGAAUAUGAGGAUGAGAUAAAGUAGUUUCAAAUACAGGGAAAAUUUCAUUGGAAAUGAUUUUAGUUUAGUUUCAGCUAGGGAAAGUUAGGUCUGAAGCAUUUUUACAUAAACAGUCGGUCAUAAUAUAACUAAAACUUACAUACUUUUUCGAUUUAAUUGUUGUUUUGCAUCAGGCAAAGUUUUUCUUCCAGCAGUUGAUAUCAGGAGUUAGUUGCUGUCAUUUGAUGGUAUGUAAUGUGGCACUUUUCUGCUAAUGCGUUGUAUACUGUUAUUUAUUUCUCUUUUGAUAUUGGAAGUGUUGGUUGUAGUAAGGAAAUAAUUCGUUUCAAUAGUAUACGACUUCGGUUUAAUAGUAUAUGACUCAGUUUUUGAAUAGCACUCAGGUGGUAUUACGACUUAGUUUUCUAAAUGCCAAUAACAGCUCUAGAUUUUGUCUCAAGUCAAGUAUUCUUACUAAUGUAGCAUUUUGUUGGCACAUCAGUAUGUUUUGAUUGUUUCUCUGCUUGAAUAGAGAAUUGUUAACGUCCGGGUGGGAACGUGGGUCAGCUCAUGUUUUAGUCUCUCCGUCGUAAGCAAUUUUACAUGGUACUCUUCAAUGUAGCUAUAGGUAAGACAACACUCUCAGUAUUCCAUAAUCAAACCACCAUUUGAACUUUUUUUCAUCCACCAAGUUAAGCUUUUAUGUGCCAUCUUGAAUAGUUAUAAGUUAUUGCUUCAGAUUACUCCAGUGCGACAUUGUUGUUCUCUUCCUUACCUCUCAAGCUUGCUUAAUAUACCAAUUCUUAUUACUGUUGUAUUGUUAAGAAAUACUCAAUUGCGGAUUCAGUUCAUCGUUUUGAAUCGGAUAAAAAUUAACCACUCAGUGGUUAAUUAUCUAAAUGGGCGGUAGGUCUCGGGUUCGAGACUUGUGAGCAGUCUCUCCAUAAAUGGGGGUAAGGCUAGCCGACAUUCACCUCUCCCAGACCCUGCGUAAAGCGGGAGCCUUGUGCACUGGGUACGACCUUUUUAGUGGUUAAUUAUCUAAAUCCUAUAAAUUCGGAUAAAAAUUAAAGCAACUACAGAACAAAAACCUCAAGAAAUCAACGCAAAUUUACCUGUAUUUGAUCAUUUUUGGGCAAAUCAACACAUCGCCGUCGCAAAACUCAGUUCCUUCGCAUCCUUCAAUUACUGUCAACGUCGUCUAUCAAAUACCAAGAAAAAAUGUGAGUAAUGGAGUCAACUCAGCUCAACACCAGAACUCAGUAGCUCCAGGAAAUAAGAAUGGUAAGAAAAAGCAAUCAGAAACGUCGACGAAUUGAGCUGGAAAAUGGACCUUAAUGGUGAAGUCGUUCUCGCGAGCUUUGAGAGCGGAUGCGAAGAACUUAGGGAGUGGAUCGGACUCAGGGCCUUCGAUGCGCCACGGCCAGGCCUCCAGGGUCUUGUAGCAAAGGAAAACGUGGUGAUAGCUCAACAGUGUAUCGUCGUCAGUGUCUUCAUCAGACUCAUAUGACUUGGUCUUAUAGUUGUCCCAAAUAGUAAGAGCAUCAGACAAAUCCCAUUUUACAAUAUCCACUCCUGUUUUGUUCAGCUUAAUUAUAUUAUCUCCUCCAUAAAAUCUUGCUUUUACAAGAACUAUGUCGCCACCUUUCAAAUUGAGCUUCUUGUUUGAAAGAUUUCCCAACCAAAGAUAAUAUUCAUGGGAAGCAGUUAUGGCGGCCUUAAUUGUCCAGAUGCUAAAAUGAGUUCGUUGGGUACGAUUAACAACAUCAAUGCAUAGAUCCCCAGUAGAGUUGGAGUUGUCUGAAGAAUAAAUGAUGCCCAAAGCCAACCCUCCUAUAUAAUCAAUACUUGGCGGCACUUCAAAUUUGACAGUUUUAUCCUCUCCCGCGACAUAGGCUAACCAGUUAGGAAUAUCAUUUCCAGAGAGAAAAAUUCCACCAAAUGCAUUUUUCUACAACAUGGGGUGCAAAGUCAGUAUAAGCAACAAUACAAAAAGCAGAGAGAGAGAGAGAGAGUACCAUACCGUUCGGAGGUUCUCCUUAAAAGUAUCAGUGAGACUGGUACACCCUUCCAUUUUAAUGUAAAUUAUCGAACCCAUGUAGUCCAACGAGUUCUUAAAUUUUGGAAUAUCUUGAGUUUGCGGCAGUCUUUCAGUAACAAUAUCCUCAUUUUCGACAUCUCUGAAAUGUCGGACAUUAUUUCCAGUGCAGUGCAGUAAUUCGCUUGCAGUAAAAGCAAACUGUUCGGCAAAUCUGGGAUUUCCUGAAGGUUUGUGCAAUGAUCGAGAAUUAAUACCAGAAGCUGAGAAAGGCCACUGAGAAUGGGUAGCCUAUUAAAACCAUUCCCACCUAGACCUAAAAAUGUUAAAGAAGAUAGACUCCCAAUUAUUUCGAGAACGGCACCAUCUGUUAUAUUGCAGUCACUGAGAUCUAAUACGUCAAUCAUCUUCAGUUGUGCUAAAAAAUGGUAACCCCCACACAAACCCUUACAGCCACUGAGCUCCAAUUUAUUGAGAUGUGGGAGUUUUGAAAAGUCUGGUAAUUCAGUCAGGUGAUGACAGUCGUUAAGAAGGAGAUACUUCAACUUCUUAGGCAACUGUUACUCAAAAAGAGAAAACAAUAAUAAAAAUUCAAAUAAAUAAAAGAGAGAAUGCAUGAUGAUGACUGAUGUUGAUAUUUACAAGGACAUUGAUAAUUAUAUCGUACCAGGUCCGAAUCCUCCCAAACUCGUACGAUCUUGCUGUUGCUCAGGUUUAAAUAAACUAGGUUUCGUUGAUCAAAAUCUGCUGGUAUGGCUUCAAGAGGAAAUCCAAUCCAAUCCAACGCUCUUAACUCCUUGGAAAGAUGUUUGUAGCUUCCAGUCAGCUUUACAUUAGCCAGGUCGAGAAAUUUCAGACGCCACAUCUUCUUAAACGCUUUCGUACUGAAGCUUUGCUCGUCAUCAGAAUGUUCUGGCAAAAAUAAGUGUAGUCCUUCAACUGCUUCUGUUCCCUGUUAGAGAUCCAAAAUAAAAAAGGAUAAUAUUCACACGAAGCAUAGCUGUGAAUUGGAUGAAUGAACUACUAGAAAGGUAGGGCAUACAACAUAAUUAUGUAUUCUCUCUUUCAAUUUACAAUGGAUGAAAGCCUUUUUUCUUAAAAUACACUAUGUACAACAUACAUUAUAUAUAUGCGGAUAUGCGUAUAUACUUCUCUUUAUUUACAUGUACUUAACAUAACAUCUUUUCAUUGCAAAAGUACUUACAGAUUCGUUCCUUAGCACGCUUUUUGCAUCUUCACUAUGCCACAAAUGACUACGUUUUCCCAAUUUCACAGGAGAUUCUGCCCGCACAAUUUCUCUUCCCAUAUCUCGAAUCAAAUCAUGCAUCCUCAAUCUUUUCCUUUCAUCAAUAUAUAGGAGACAUCGAUCGCAGAGUGUGGUAAUUUCUGCUUCUACAGAAAAACGACUACAACCAUCCAAUACUGGAGUGGCCACACUUAUAUGCACUCCAAUAAAGAAAUUAGAUAUGUCUAGGAACACACCCUUCUCAUGAUCAUCACGUAGUCCAUCGUAGCUUAAUUUAAGCGUUUCAUGAAUUUUUCCGUCUGGAAUAUUUCUCAAUUUAUCCAAUGUACUUUCCCAUAUGGUUUUACUCUUUUUCUUAGCCAACAAACGACCAACAACUUUCAGAGCUAGGGGCAAUCCUCCACAAUAAUCAACAAUAUCUCUUGCCAAUUCAAUAUAUUCUUUAUCGGGAUAAUCAUUUCCAAAGGCAUGCCAACUAAGGAGCUCAAAAGCUUCUUUCUCUGUCAUUGCUUGUGCCUUAUAUUUUUUAUCCACCUUUUGUAUAUUCAGCACAUGUUCAUCUCUUGUUGUUAUAAUAAUUCUACUCCCUGGACCAAACGAUUCAUGUUCUAUUGCCAAUUCAUCUAAUUGGUCUGCAUCAUCUAUGUCAUCAACCACGACAAGUACCUUCAUGCUUCCAAGUCUUUUCUUGAUCUCUUUGGUCCCUUCGGCAACACUGCUUACCUUAAUGUCAGGCUGUUUUAAAAUAUCUCGAAGAAGUUGUUCUUGCAAACUAACCAUCGCUUUCUUUUUACUCCUCACAUCUUCAAGGUAACAUUGACGACUAAAACUAUGCUGAUAAUUGCUACAAACGGCUCUGGCAAGCAUUGUUUUACCUAUACCGCCCAUACCACAAAUUCCAAUUAUUCGAACAUCAGGUGAACCUCCAACGUCUAAGUAUUUAGUACAAAAUUCUUGCAAGCGAAAAGCCAUUCCAACUAAGUGCUUGGCUUCUUUAAAGUCUGUGGUUUUCAGUAGUCCUUUGACGUCCCCAACAAUUUUCUCGAUAAACACCCCUUCACACCUACGAGUAGAAAUUCCAAAUUACGAGAGCCAUACUAAAUGCCUUAUUCAUAAUGACUAGAUAUUUACAUAUUGAAACAUAUUUGAAUAAACUGGAUUAAUUGAGCUCAAUUCAACCACGUAUCCAAUCUUUGAUUAUAAUGUGAAUACAUUAGAUCAUUGGUGAUUUGACUAUUAUGCAAUUGUAGCUUUCAGUAAUAUAAUUAAGAAUCCAUUACAAUUGGUAUUUUAAAUUGAUAAAGUGUGGAGCAUUUGUCCUUCACACACCCAUAAAAAACAAAGCACGUACCCUGCGCUUCACUUCCUUAAUUUCCACGGAAAUUAUUAUGCAAAUGCUCUACCUUUUAUAAAAUUCAUAUACCAAUUGUAAUAAAUUUUUAUGUAGGGACCAAAAUUACAGUUCUAUUAUAGUUCAGAGAUCAACGAUCCAAUUUUUCUUAUGACAUAUAAAAUCAGAUUCAAUGCCUUAAUUAUAAUAUCUUAAUUUUGGUUGAUUAGUGAAAUAUGGUGAUAUGAAAUUUGAAGUAAACAAAAAAGUAUACCCGUCGGCCGUGGUUUUGAGGUUCCAGCCGGCCAAAUCUGCAGAAGCCUUAAGAUCCUCUCUCCACUGCUUGACCUCAUUUGGAUCUUCAUCCUUUUCAUGCUUCUGAAAUGCUUCCCCAAAACUAUCUUUCUGUUUCCUGACUUGAGAAGGGUCAACGUCGUAGAAUAUUGGACACACUAUCUUCCCCUCUUGAUCUUUUAGGCACCUCAUGAUCUUCGACAGCUCCCUCAGGCACCACCGGGACUCCGCGUACCUCUUCGAGAAGACGAUGACAGCGAUCCUCGACCCUUCGAUUUCUUGGUCAAGUUCACUCUGUAUGUCUUCCCCCCUUCUGAGCUGUUUGUCUAUAAACGUGUUAAUUCCGGCAUUGCGUAACGCAAUGAAGAGGUGGUCUGUGAAGGUGUUGCGGGUAUCUUCGCCUCUAAAGCUCAGGAACACCUCGUACUUCCAGCGGUUUGAGCUCUGCGAGGAAGACGAAGAGGCGGCAGAGCCAGCUCCUUGGGCGGAGCUGCUGGUAUCCAUUGCAGACCGUAGAAGUGCAGCUUGGCUUUCAAAUAACCAAAGUCAAGUCUUUACCCAGUGUCGGUGGCCGUUUUAGAUAUUUUGCAUGGGCCAAUAAUGUCACUGCUGUGUCGAUAACGCGCUCCCACAGUUUAAUUUGUAUAAAUGCUUUACGAUGCAAUUUCCUUUCUUUUGUAGUCUUUUGAGAAUCUGCCGCCCAACUUUGACCGGUUGACGAUCUUAUUGUAUUAUAAGAUGUGCAUUUUGAUUAUCAUCAUUUAAUGUGAUGUAUGUUCAUCAAAUUAUUUAUUAUUAUUAGAUGAGUUUAAAUUUUAAGAUUUGUACUUAUGCACUACCCACCCGAAUCUCGAAAUUCAAACACAUUUAACGAUGAUAAAUAGAAUGAUAAACAUAUAUCAUACUAAAUAAUGGUGAGCAAAAAUGCUCCCGUAUUUUAAGGGUGGUGCGCAGCACGUUCCAACUGUUGGAGUCAGUAGUAUCAACGGGAAGAGACCUCAUCUCCAACAACCCAUCUUAACAAAAAAUGCAGAAAAUUAAACUCCAACAGGCUAACUAAAUGACUCUUUAUUUUGUGAACGGUAACUAACUAAAUUUAACCAGGAGACAUUCGUAGCUUACGUCAAAAGGAUCAAUGUUGUAAUAUAAGUAAUUUACUUGCUCAAAAUAAGGAUCAAUUUAGCUACGAAAGCAGGGAGAUGAUCGAGCUCACGAUAGCAGAUUUUUUUAUCCUAUCGUCUUGCAAGGGAAACAAGCUACCAAUUGCUUGCAUCAUCUGAAGCCAUCCAACUAAUGGUUGAAUUUCUCAGUCAAGACUAUGCUCAAGGCAUCAGUGUGCAGGCCAGACUCGACAGCAUAGCCACACUACACAACCUCUCGCGCUGCCAUCAGAUUAUUCCGUCUCUGGUCUCUUCGGGCGUAGUGUUUUCAAUGCUAAAACUGCGGCAUGGAAGCUGUUUCUUUUUGAGACUGUUCCAAUUAUGGUUCGAGAAACAAGCAGUCAAGGAAUAAGUUGAUGGGGUGAGUACAACGGCAUUGAGACUGUUCCAAUUAUGCAGGAAGUUGAUGCAGAAGGAGAAAAAGUUGACGGGGUAAGUACAACGGCAUUGAGACUGGUAGAGGAGAAGCUUGCAAAGAUCAGCAGUGGACGAUAAUCUCGACCAAACUCUGAGCUUUGCCAAGCAGAUUAAGAUGUUGGAACAGCCGUUCAUCUUGUUUAUUGAACAAACGAGGAGGACAACAAUGCAGAAUCAACGCUUGAAUUCAAAGUCCCAACAGGCAAAUCGAAAAUAAUCACAAGAGCUUAGAAAAUACCACACCAACAUUUGGCAAGCAGUCUCACAACAAAUCCCACUAUCAAGAUAAAACCAUUCAACGGUGUGUUGGAACAACAGAUUUCAGUUGUGUAAGCAAUCAACAUAAAGGAACAGUGAAUACUUUUGUAACUAUAUAUGGAUUAGCUUCGGGAAUUCAUCAAACCCUCCGAAAAAGAACGUAUAGUGUAGCUACCAUAUUCUCCUUUCAUAUAAGAGCUUAUUUAAUUGACGUUAUAACACCUUUCUACAAAGAAAAAAAAGAAGAAAAUAGGGCCUCUACACCCAUGGCAAAACCCGACAUGGAUUAGAGUACGUUUCAGCCUGACCUUCUGUAAAAGCUAUAGGCCACAGCCACUGUUGCCACAGCUCCAACCACGGCAGCAGCUGCGAGAACAUCGCUUUGCUCCCAGUUCCCGAUCAAGCUUGACAGCUUCCCUAAGGCAUCCUUCCUGGCACACGACUCUCUGGUUUCUUUCACCUUCUUUUCCUCACUUCCAUUGUUCUGCUCUAAACUUACUUCUUUGCAGCAUGUAAAUCCAUUACUAUUAGCACCCUGGCAACAGCCUGAAAAGUUCUCAUUAUUCUGAAUCUGAUUGCCGUUUUCUUAGGGCUUCUCCUCCAUUUUCUUACUUUCUCCUCCAUUUGGAAGCUUCUGGUCAUUAAUUUUUUCAGCUUCAUCCGAAGAUGCUCCCAUUUGGCCCCUGUAAGGAAUGAAAUUGAAUUUCGAGUUCAGCCAUUUAAAGAUUCAACUCUAUGUUUCAUCAAUAGCAAUCGAGUAAGGACAUGUAUGAUCAAGCUUAAUAAACAAUUUGACAACAGUACCUACUUGACCCCGUCCCCCCUUCCCCAAAACCACCUUUGGUUUGGUUCUAUAAAAAAAAAAAAAUUGUUUGAUUUGGUUCACACGAGUUGUUUGAUUUGGUUCCUCAAUGUUAAUGUAACUCCAUAUCAAUAAUCUAUCUUCCAACACUAUAAGUAAUCAGCAAUAGGAAAAUAUGACAACAGAAGCUUCAGUUCCAGUGAACUUUUCAUCAGCAGACGGUUGGCAAAACCGAAAACACACAAUCCUCCAAAGUCGUUCUAUGAUCUCUCCCUUCCCAAUAUGCUGAUCAAGCAAUUCCGGCACAUCCUUAGGAGUGACGUAGCCAUACCUGCAAUUAUUAAUACCAUAAUAUUCAAAUUCCUUCAUCUAUCCCAAUACAAUAAAUUUUACAUUGUUAUGAUCCGGAUAUUACCAAUGGCCUGUUAUGCUUCCAUCUGAACCUGGGCUGUAGACAAUCAAGUUUCCAGCACACUUGUGGUCUCCAAUGUGAGAGCAAGCAGUAACAAAUACCUGAUUUGUCAAUCCUCGCAGCUCAGCCUCCUCUUUGAACUUAUCAAUGAGAAUAGGUCCACAAACUCCACAUUUUUAUCUCGACUUCCAUGUAGACCUGUAAACGGGUUAGGUUUAUUGGGUUUGGGUCGGGUUGAACCCGACCCGUUAAGUUAACGGGUCACCCGAACCCGACCCGUUAAGCUAACGGGUCACCCGAACCCGACCCGUUAAGCUAACGGGUCACCCGUUUCACCCGUUAACACCCGUUAACAAUUAUUAUUAUUUUUUUUUUGCAUAAAGUUUAUUUUUUGUUAUUAAAACUUUACUAAAAUUACUAAAAUAUCCUCAACUAACGGGUGCUAACGGGUGUUAACGGGUCUAACGGGUUGACCCAAAGUGACCCGUUAUUUAACGGGUGUUAACGGGUUCACCCGUUAGCGACCCGACCCGUUAAGCAUCCACCCAAAUACAAAUAUUAACGGGUUGGGUCGGGUUAACGGGUUGGGUCCAAAAUGCCAGGCCUACUUCCAUGUGCACAUACAAAUACAUGGGAGCCAGUCAACGCCUCUUGCACUACGGAAGCCCAUGGUUUGUCGUUCACAAGGACAUCAAUUGGUUAGAAACCAAGCCAUGUUACCGGCACACAGCCUCAGAGUAAACAAGGAAAAUUUCAAGGUAUCAACACUAAAACUAGUCCAAAACACACUAAAUUAGCUCAAUUCGAGACUUCGUAAAUUGAAAUGGGAAAAUCAUAAACUCUAUCUCUAGUUAGCAAUCAUCGAAAUCUCCUAGUCAAAUAAAGCAAAUCUGAAGAAUCAAAACACCACUCACUGGUUAAUUAUCUAAAUCCUAUAAAUUUCGGUUAAAAUUAAGCAACUACAGAACAAAAACAUCUUUACCUGUAUUUGAUCAUUUGUGGGAAAAUCAACACUUCGCCGUCGGAAAACUCAGUUCCUUCGCGUCCUUUAAUUACUGUCGGGUCUAUCAAAAACCAAGAAAAAAGUGAGUAAUGGAGUCAACUCAGCUCAACACCAGAACUCAGUAGCUCCAGUAAAUAAGAAACGGCAAGAAAAGCGAAACGCCGACGAGUUGAACUGCAAAACGGACCUUAACGGCGAUGUCGUUCUUGCGAGCUUUGAGAGCGGAGGCGAAGAACUUAGGGAGCAGAACGGACUCAGAGCCUUCGACGCACGACGGCCAGGCCUCGGGGGUCUUGUAGCAGAGUAAGACGUGGCGGUCGUACGCGUUGACAGUGCCAGCAAGUUUUUCCUUGCACAUCUCCAAUCUCUUGAAACCGAACCUCUCGUCUUCGGUGGCUGGAACGGCGACGUCGAGGUCAUCGGAGACCAUUGCUAGGGCUCGGAGAGGAGGGAGGGGUUUACCAGGGGUUGAAGUUGAAAACGAUGAGAGGGAAAAGAUGAGAGAGAAAGAGCGUUGUUGUUUGGUUGUUGUGUUGAUAUAACGAGGAGGCUGAGAAGGGAACCGCGGUGUCGGUGUGGGUGUAGGUGCGUGCGCAACACAUACGGCGCACGAUGGGGUUUCUGAAGAUCGGAGUCGGGACGCGUGGGAUUGGGCACGUGGGGUUUGAUUUGUAGUUCAUGUAUAUACCUCUUUUUUGAGAAUAAAGAUUUUUUUUGGAUCCUCUUUGUAGGGAUUUUAUAGUUUGUGUAUCGUAUUCAUUCAUUGUAAAUCAGACGGUUAGAAAUUACUUUAAAUCUAUAAAUUUAAAAUUAAACACAAAUAAUAUUUAAAGAAAAUUGACUGCAUAAUUAAUACGAUAAACGAACACAAUUAAAAAAUUCUCAGAAUCCUCGUAAAAAGAAUCCGAACUCUUUUGAUGUCUCCGAUCAUAUCGGACGGAAGCUAAAAGAUAAUUCGUGCACGCAAAAAUGGAAGGUCCUACAAACGGAGGAGGACCACUCUCUAUUCCCGGGAAGUGGGGUACAAGCGCGUAUGUAUAUAUCACCCAAUGGGGCACCAAUAUGUUGUACUAGCAGGGAACUGAAUGAGGUGAAAUUGGAAAAUCCCUUAAACUUGGUGAUGUGGCGACCUGUGAUUCGGCCUUCACAUUCUGUCAAGAAACAGGCCGGUCACUUUGUUGAUUAAGUCAAGCAGUCAGCCUUAGCCCGACGUGGACAAGUUCUGGAAGUCUUGUUUCGCUCAUUUAUUUAUUUCUUGUCAAUGACGUGUAAUAUUUGAUUUCAUUUGUUUUUUUGGUGGACUAAUAUUAAAUAUACUUUUGUCAAUGAAUUAAUGAUACAAUUUAGAACGGUGAUAUUCACACAUUUUGCACAUAUUCUUCAAUUUGAUAGUUGAAAAUUGAGAAGAAUGUGUGUGAAAUGUAAAAAGAACGUGUAAAUAGCAUAUCCCUACAAUUUAAUAUAAAGGAAUGUAGAUUUCAAACAACGAUUGUUUUUUAAGGUAACGCUUUUGUUCUUGAUUUUUCAUGUUUGAGCUUGAAAUGAACCGCUUUCAUAAUCUAUUGUAUUACUUUGUGUUCAGUUGAAUAAAGUAUCUUUUUCCAACGAAAAAUAAACGGAAUGGCAUUUAAAUAAGGAGUGUAGAGAGUGUAUGCGUAAGGAAAGAGGCAUGCAAAAUUCAUUUCAGCUCAUACAUCUUUGUGUUGCUUAUGUUGGUCUUUCAAUUAAUUAUGUUGAGAGUGAGGAAAUAAAUUGUACUUAGCAGUGUCAAAUUACAACCCUAAUCGAAAAACGUCUUGUUCGCCGGACCUACUCGACUGCUCCGAACAAUGUAAGGCCGAAAGGCGGACGAUACAUAAUCGGGUUUUUUCGAAGUAGGCAUUCAUAAACAUCAAGGAAGCAUACUUGGUAGAAAAUGAAAGAUCCUCAACUUCAUUCCUCAAAUUUUCAAUGCAAUUGAAUUUCCUCAAAUCUAAGGAACUACCAGAUUGUAAUGCUUGCAAUGGAAGGGAACCAUUGUGUACAUGUAGCAUCCACAUGAAUCAGUUGGAGGCUUGUUGGAGUUUUUAACGGAAUGACCAAAAUGAUGGAUGGUAGACAAUCUCAAGGACCACUUUUGAUUAUUUACCCUUCUAUUGAAUUUGCAAAGGGGAAGAAGUUUUAAAUCCAUUACAAAAGAGAUAAUUGCAGCAUGAUUGAUAACAUGCUCAUCACGUGAUUGGGUUCCUAAAAUUCCCAGGUUGUUGCAGGCUUCCUCGUCCUUGUAGAAUAUUUUGUUCAACAAUUCCAGAGAAAAACAAUUAUUCGAUUCGUUUCAGGUAACAGAUGAGUAGCUUAAUUCAAAACUUGUUUUCGUUCUAGAAGUUUAGAUUAUACAAGUGAAUGGUCAAUAUGAUAUACUCGAUAAAAUUACAUGUCUCCUUUUAAAUUUAAAGUUCAUUAUUUUGAAGUGAUUUUUGGAAUUUAAUUUUUCAAUUUAUUUGAUUGAGAGGUGAGGAAUUGGAGAUAAUUAAUUAUGUUUGGGGGUUAACUGGUAUCCUCUAGAAUAUGUUUUUUUUUUUAAUGAGGAAUCCUCUAGAAAAUGUUUAACUUUAUUUUAAAUUUUCAUGUGGUUUUGGCUUCAAUGAGGCAAUGGCAUAUGUGUAAAUAAACAAAAGUUUAAUUCUAACCUAAGGGGGCUGACGGAAGUCAGGGGCAUGGAUGGAAAAGGAGUUUCUUACUUUGCACGUGGGGCUUUAUUGUUUGGGUUAUUCCUCCUAGCUUUUGUCAUUUUCAUUAAAAUUUAAAUCUUUUUAUUAAGUAAAAUUAUUAAAUAGUUUUUUUAUUAAGAAAUUGUUAUUAGGAUUCUAAAAAUCUCAUUUAGCAUUCUAAAUUUUUUAUAAUUAGAAAAAAAAAUACACUUAUAAGAAGUGUAAAUGAGAUUUUUGAAAUGCUAAUAACAAUUCGAUUUUAUUAAUAAAAAGUUUGAAGAAGGCCUUUUCAUUAAAAUUCCCCCAAAAAAAAAGGAGUAUGCUUCUUCCUAAAACGCUUCUUUAGGCCAUAUAAACAAACAGUGAGACGUAAAAACAUGCCCCAACCUCAAAUAUUUCUCUCACAAACAAGGAGAGAAUUUUCAGUGUGACCGGUACACAAGGUGGUACACCACGUAUCACUAAACAAAUAAUAGGAUAUGUGUGCUAAAAAGUUAAUAACUUAAAAAAUAAAAUUUCCCACUAUUCUUAUUAAAACACGUGAUGUAUCACUUAUAUUCCCGUCACAACUAAAAAUUUCCCUACAAACAGAGAGACGUAAAAACAUGCUGCCAUGGGCUUCAGAGAGGAAAAAAGAUCAGGAAAAAAAAUGACCUGAUUGGGUAAGACUUGUACACAAGUUUGUAGUAAAUGUCUACGUACCUUCCUUACAAGUCUGUCUCUUUACUGUGCUUUCCUUCAAUUCACUGUUGUUUCUUCAUCGUCAAAGCUUUCAAUAUUAAGAUCAAACCUUAAUGUUUUGCAGACCUCAUCAGAUGAGUGAUCUCUUAACUCUGUACCAUUGUGGGUGUCGUCAUCAAACUCAUAUGGUAUAGUCUAAUAGUCUGCCUCAUCAGUAUCAUCAUCUCACUCUAAUGGUACACGCUCAUAGUUCACAUUUUUUAUUUCUGAAGGUAAACAAUGUUCCCAUCCUACAAAAUUCACUCCUGUUUUCUUCACCUUACGAACCUUGUCCCCCCUUUUCAGAUUGAGCUUCCUGUUUGAAAGACUUCCCAGCCAAAGAUAAUCUUCAUGGGAAUCAGUUAUGGUGGCAUCCAUUCACCAGAUGGAAAAAUAAGUUCUCUGGGUAACCACAUCGAGGCAUAGAGACCCACUACACUGGGAUGGUCCGAAGAAUAAACGAUGCACACAGCCAACCCUCCUAUAUAAUCAAAACUUGGCGGCACUUCAAAUUUGACAUUUUCUUCCUCUCUCACGACAUAGGUUAACGAUUAAGGAAUAACAUUUCAAGAGCGACAAAUUUCACCAAAUACAUCCCCCACCUUCCAUUUCUACAACACGGCGUGCAAAGUUUGUAUAAGCAAACAAUACGAGAAGGGCAGAGCGAGAGAGAGAGAGAGAGAGAGAGAGAGAGAGAGAGAGAGAGAGAGAGAGAGUAUCAUGCAACAAAACAUAAAAACUCAUCUGGGAGAAUUAUGACUCUUGUGAAUUGGUAGUAUUAUCGAUGCAUAUGUUAUAUGAUCUUCAAACUCGCUAUAGCGUGACUUUUUUUUUUUGUAUCUUUUUCAUCAACUUCAUUUGUUUUUUUUUUUUUUCAAGUAGAGCUGAUAAACUUAAAAUUUAUCCACAACCUAAAAAAUGGAAGAAAAAAAAAGAGGUGGAUGUACAAAAUCCUUGCUAUGCCCUCUAUAUUCAACAGAACAAUAAAUUGAGUUAACGGAUAUAAUUGAAGUACCAUAUUUGAUUGUGUUUGAGAACCAUAAUAAGGAAAAAAAAAAACUACUCUAGAAUGAAGGUAAAACUCGUGACAACAAUGGUGUACAUCUAAAAAAUAGUUCAAGCAGAUUAAGAUGUUAGCGCAUAGACAAAUAUCUCGUUUAUUGAACAAACGAUGAGGAUAACAAUGCCGUUUUCUCUCUUUCGAAAUUCAUAAACAACAAAAUUGAGAUUUGUUACACAAAAAUUACCAUAAAUUUUGACAGAAUUGGCGGUUGAAAUAUAAGUCCAGCAUCCAAAUCGAAAACAAUCAUAGGAGCUUAGAAAAUACCACAUCAACCUUUAGCAAGUAGUCUCAUAAGAAAUCCCAAUCAAGAUAAAACCAUUCAACAGUUUAUUAGACUUCUCCUUUCAUAUAAGAGCAUGGUUCGGAGGAUAAUUUAAUUGACCUCAUAACAUCUUUCUACAAAGAAAAAAUGAAAAAGAAAAUAGGGCCUCGACACCUGUGGCAAAACCCGACAUGGAUUAGAGUACUUUUCUGCCUAACCUUCUAUAAAAGCAAUAGGCCACAACUACUAUUGCCACUGCUCCAAUCAAGCUUGACAGCUUCCGUAAGGCAUCCUUCCUGGCACACGACUCCCUGGUUUCUUUCGGCUUUUUUUCCUCACUUCCACCGUUCUCCUCCAAACUUACUUCUUCGCAACAUGUAAAUCCAUCACUAUUAGCACCCUGGCAACAACCUGAAAAGUUCUCAUUAUUCUCAAUUUGAUUGCCCUUUUCUUGGUGAAUCUGAUUGCCAUUUUCUUGUGGCUUCUCCUCAAUUUUCUUAUUUUCUUCUCCAUUUGGAAGCUCCCGGUCAUUGAUUUCUUCAGCUUCAUCAGAAGAUGCUCCCAUUUGGCCCCUGUAACAAAUGAAAUUGAAUUUCGUGUUCAACUAUUUAAAGAUUCAACUCUAAGUUUCGUCAAUAUCAAUUGAGUAAGAACAUGUAUGAUCAAGCUUAAUAAACAAAUCACAACCACAUUACAAAUAAAAACAUAUACAGGGUAAUGCAGUUAUAUCCAAUUCUUUUGUGCUUUCUCCACAAAAGUUCCUCCAUGUUAAUGUAACUCUAUAUCAAUUAAUCUAUCAUACAAGACUAGACAUAAUCAGCAAUUGAAAACUACGACAACACAAGCUUCCGUCCAGUGAAAAUUUCAUCCAAAGAUAGGCAAAACCAAAAACGUACAAACCUCCACAGUCGUUUUAUAAUCUUUCCCUUCCCAAUAUGCUCAUCAAGCAAUUCCGGCACAUCAUCAGGAGUGACGUCGCCAUACCUGCAAUUAAUAAUACAUUUUAUUCAAAUUCCAUUGAUCCCAAUACAACAAAAUUUUAAAUUGUUAUGAUCCGAAUAUUACCAAUGGCCUGUUAUGCUUCCAUCUGAACCUGAGCUAUAGAUAAUCAUGUUUCCAUUGUGGCCUCCAGUGUGAAAGCAAGCAGCAACAAAUACCUGAUUCGUCAAUCCUCGCAGCUCAACCUCCUCUUUGAACUUAUAAAUGAGAACACGUGCACUAUCAUGAUUCCAUUCCUCUCGACUACCUUGUGCACAUACAAAUACAUGGGAGCCAGUCAACGGCUCUUGCACUCUGGAAGCCCAUGGCUUGUCAUUCACAAGGACAUCAUCAACAAAGUUGUCCACAUCCGACUCUUUCAAACCCCUUUGAUCAAGAAACAAAAACAAUCCCAAAAUCACAAAAAGGAAUUUACAGGAAACAAUAACCUAACACUCUUUAAUUCCUUAUAAGGCAAGGAAUUAGUCUUAAAUUGAGUCAUUAAAUUAAAUUUCUAGUACUAAUUUCAGAAGAUAACACAUAUCUAAUUAUCUACUUAGUUCAUGACAUUUAGCACAAUUUCGUAAUCAAAAGAGAAGUCGAAACAGAAAUUACUUCAGUCAAAACUAGGAAAAUAAAUUGCACUGCUCAUCUUGGUUAUGGAAUGGGCCCUUGAUUAUGAAUUAAUUACGGUUUGCCAUUGUGUGCGCUAGUGUGGGCCGUGCUUAACAACUGGGUUGGGCUGCUGCAUUUGGGCACAGGGUGCAGCUCUCAAGCGUUUUGGGCUGGGUUUCACCGAAAGAUCCAAUAACUAUUUUGCCCCCUUCAGUCCUAAUCCAACGGCCACCAUUUUGGGCGUUUGUGUUCUGCAAUUCAGUGGUUGGGGGUUGGGGGUUGUGGUGGGGGGGGGGCGUCAGGAUCUCUUCAAGGAGAUCGUGCAGAGAGGCAGCGAGAUGUUUCGGUUCUGUCUUCUUCGACUCUUAUAUCGUCCCUUUUUUCUGAAUUUUCUUUAUUUCUUAUCCUUUAAACUUUGUAUUUUUUUUUUUGGUGAUGCAGAUAGAUGAACAUGUUCAAAGGGAAAUCAUGAACCACAGAUCACUGCAUCCGAAUGGACCGAAUAUCGUUUGAUUCGAAGAGGUCAGUGAUCAUAAACUAUUUUAUAAACUAUUUUCAUUUUGUUUUUUAAGAAUGAAUUCGGCAAGUUCUGUUUGAAUUUUGUAUAAGUAUCUGCUGAUGGUGGGUGGAUGAAGACAGAACAUGCUAAAUUUGGCCUUUGGUGUGCUCAAACUGGUACGGGGGAUGGUUAAAACUUUGAGCCUGGGAUGCAGUAGGACUAACAGAAAUCCACCACUUGCAGAAUUGUUGUCAAAAUAACUCUGCUAAAAAUAUGAGCUAUACUUCUUGCACUUUGUUUUUACUGUGAAGUGGAAAUAGUCUUUAGAGUGGCUUAUUUGUGAUAAUUGAUAAAGAGGUUUGUGUUUAAGACUUGAGAGUAGUGCGGUGUCUUUCUCGCUGGUUCUGCUCACACCACCUCAUCUAGCCAUUGUGAUGGAGUACACGGCUGGGUGAGAACUCUUCGAGAGAGUAUGCAGUGCUGGCAGAUUUAGUGAGGAUGAGAUAAAGUAGUUUCAAAUGCACAGAAAAUUUCAUUGGAAUUGAUUUUAGUGUAGAGUCUCAAAUAUGGGAUCUCUAAAUGUCCCCUGAAAUGGAAUCCAUCUCGAUUUUUGCUUAGUUUCAGAUAGGGAAGGUUAUGUCUGAAGCAUUUUUACAUAAACAAUCAGUCAUAAUAUAACAAAAACGAACUUACUUUUUCGAUAUAAUUGUUGUUUUGCAUCAGGCAAGGUUUUUUCCUCCAGCAAUUGAUAUCAGGAAUUAGUUGCUGGCUUUUGAUGGUAUGUAAUGUGGCACUUUUCUGCUAAUCGUAUACUGUUAUUUCUCUUUUGAUAUUGGAAGUGUUGGUUGUAGUAAGGAAAUAAUUCGUUUCAAUAGUUUACGACUUAGUUUUAAUAGUAUAUGACUCAGUUUUUGAAUAGCACUCGGGUGGUUUUUGAAUAACAGUAUUACGACUUAGUUUUCUAAAUGCCAAUAACAGCUCUAGAUUUUGUCUCAAGUGGAGUAUUCUUACUAAUGUAGCAUUUUGUUGGCGCAUCAGUAUGUUUUGAUUGUUUCUCUGCUUGAACAGAGAAUUGUUAACGUCCAGGUGGGAACGUGGGUUGGCUCAUGUUUUAAUCUCUCCGUUGUAAGCAAUUUUACAUGGUAUUCUUCAAUGUAGCUAUAGGUAAGACAACAGUCUCAGUAUUCCAUAAUCUAACCACCAUUUGAACUUUUUUCAUCCACCAAGCUAAGCUUUUAUGUGCCAUCUUGAAUGGUUAUUAUAAGUUAUUGCUUCAGAUUACUCCAGUGCGACAUUAUUGUUCUCUUCCUUACCUCUCAAGCUUGCUUAAUGUCCUUAUUCUUAUUACUGUUGUAUUGUUAAGAAAUACUCAAAUGCGGUUUCAGUUCAUCAUUAUGAAUCAGAUUAAAAUUAACCACUCACUGGUUAAUUAUCUAAAUCCUAUAAAUUCAGAUUAAAAUUAAAGCAACUACAGAACAAAAACCUCAAGAAAUCAACACGAAUUUACCUGUAUUUGAUCAUUUGUGGGAAAAUCAACACAUCGCCAUUGGAAAACUCAGUUCCUUCGCGUCCUUCAAUUACUGUCAGCAACGUCUAUCAAAAACCAAGAAAAAAGUGAGUAACGGAGUCAAUUCAGCUCAACACCAUAACUUAGUAGCUCCAGGAACUAAGACACGGUAAGAAAAAAUAAUCGGAAAUGCUGACGAAUUGAGCUGGAAAAGGGACCUUAACGGUGAUGUCGUUCUUGCGAGCUUUGAGAGCGGAUGCAAAGAACUUAGGGAGUGGAUCGGACUCAGAGCCUUUGAUGCGCCAUGGCCAAGCCUCGGGGGUCUUGUAGCAGAGGAAAACUUGGCGAUUGCUCAACUGCGUAUCGUCCUUAGUGUCUUCAUCAGACUCAUAUGACAUAGUCUCAUAGUCGUACCAAUUAGUACGACCAUCAGACAAAUCCCAUUUUACAAUAUCCACUCCUGUUUUGUUCACCUUAAUAAUUGUAUUAUCUAGUCCAGAAAAUUCUGCUUUUACAAGAACCAUGUCACCGCUUUUCAGAUUGAGCUUCUUGUUUGAAAGAUUUCCCAACCAAAGAUAAUAUUCAUGGGAAGCAGUUACGGUGGCCUUCAUUGCCCAGACGCGAAAGUUAGUUCGCUGGGUACGAUUAACAACACCAAUGGUUAGAAUCCCAGUACAGUCAGAGUUGUCCGAAGAAUAAACGAUGCCCAAAGCCAACCCUCCUAUAUAAUCAAUACUUGGCGGCACUUCGAAUUUGACAGUUUCAUCCUCUCUUGCGACAUAGGCUAACCAGUUAGGAAUAUCAUUUCCAAAGAGAAAAAUUCCACCAAAUGCAUUUUUCUACACCAUGGGGUGCAAAGUUAGUAUAAGCAACAAUACGAGAGAGAGAGAGAGAGAGAGAGAGAGAAAGAGAGAGAGAGUACCGUUUUGGAGGUUCUCCUUAAAAGUAUCAGUGAGACUGGUACACCCUUCCAUGUGAAUUGAUUCCAUGUAGUCCAAUGAGUUCUCCAAGUUUGGAAUAUCUUUGAGUUUGCGGCAGUCUUUCAGUUCCAAUUUCCUCAUUUUCGACAUCUCUGAAAAGUCGGACGUUAUUUCCAGUGCAGUGCAGUAAUUCGCUUCCAGUAGAAGCAAACUGUUCGGCAAAUCUGGGAUUGCCUCAAGGUUUGUGCAAUGAUUUAGAUGUAAUUCCUGAAGCUGAGAAAGGCCAUUGAGAUUGGGCAGCCUAUUAAAACCAUUCCCAUAUAGAACUAAAUAUUUUAAAGAAGAUAGACUCCCAAUUAUUUCGAGAAGGGCACCAUCUGUUAUAUUGCAGUCGCUGAGACCUAAUGCCUCAAUCAUCUUCAGUUGUAGUAAAAAAUGGUAACCCCUACACAAACCCUUACAGCCACUGAGGUUCAAUUCCUCGAGAUGUGGGAGUUUUGAAAAGUCUAGUAAUUCAGUCAGGUUAUGGCAGUCUUUAAGAAUGAGACACUUCAACAUCUUAGGCAACUUCUUAGGCAACUGUUACUCAAAAAGUGAAAACAAUAAUAAAAAUAUAAAUAAAUAAAAGAGAGAAUGCAUGCCGAUGACCGAUGUUGAUAUUUACAAGGACAUUGAUAAUUAUAUCGUACCAGGUCUGAAUCAUCCCAAACUCGUACAAGCUUGCUAUUUCUCAGGUCAAUAAAAACUAGGUUUCGUUGAUCAAAAUCUGCUGGUAUGGCUUCAAGGGGAAAUCCAUCCCAAACCAACAAUCUUAACUCCUUGGAAAGAUGUUUGUAGCUUCCAGUCAGCUUUACAAUUUCCAGCCGGAUAAAUUUCAGACGCCGCAUCUUCUUAAACGCUUCUGUACUGAAGCUUUCCUCGUCAUCAGAAUCUUCUGGCAACCUUAAGUUUAGUCCUUCAACUGCUUCUGUUCCCUGUUAGAGAUAUAAAAAAAAAAAAUGAUAAUAUUCACACGAAGCAGAGCCGUGAAUUGGAUGAAUGAGCUACUAGAAUGGUAGGGCAUACAACAUAAUUAAUUAUGUAUUUUCUCUUUCAAUUUACAGUGGAUGAAAGCCUUUUCUUCUUUUUCUUCAAAUAUAGGCAUACAUUAUAUAUAUGCGGAUAUGUGUAUACACUUCUCUUUCUUUACAUGUACUUAACAUAACAUCUUUUUAUUGCAAAAGUACUUACUGAUUCGUUCAUGAGCACGUUUUUUGCAUCUUCACUAUGCCACAAUCGGCUACGUUUUCCCAAUUCCACAAGAGAUUCUGCCCGCACAAUUUCUCUUCCCAUAUCUCGAAUCAAAUCAUGCAUCCUCAAGUAUCCCUCUUCAUCAAUAUAUAAGAGACAUCGUUCGUAAAGUGUGAUAAUUUCUGCUUCUACAGAAAAACUACUACAACCAUCCAAUAUUGCCGUGACAAAAAUUUUACUCCAUCCAAUAAAGAAACAAGAUAUGUCAAGGAAUACACCCUUCACAUGAUCAUCACGUAGCCCAUCGUAACUUAAUUUAAGCGUUUCAUGAAUUUUUCCAUCUGGAAUAUUUCUCAAUUUAUCCAAUGUACUUUUCCAUAUGCUUUUACUCUUUUUUGUAGCCAACAACUUCAAGAGCUAGGGGCAAUCCUCCACAAUAAUCAAUAACAUCUCUUGCGAGCUCAAUAUAUUCUUUAUCUGGACAAUCAUUUCCAAAGGCAUGCCAACUAAGAAGCUUAAGAGCUUCGUCAUCAGUCAUUCCUUGUGCUUUAUAUCUUUUAUCCACCUUUUGUAUAUUCAGCACUUGUUCAUCUCUUGUCGUUAUAAUAACUCUGCUCCCUGGACCAAACGAGUCAUGUGCUAUUGCCAAUUUAUCUAAUUGGUCCGCAUCAUCUAUGUCAUCAACCACGACAAGUACCUUCAUGCUUCCAAGUCUUUUCUCUAUCUCCUUGGUUCCUUCGGCAACACUGCUUACCUUAAUGUCAAGCCGUUUCAAAAUAUCUCGAAGAAGUUGUUCUUGGAGACUAACCAUAUUUUUCUUGUUACUCCUCACCUCUUCAAGGUAACAUUGACUGCUGAAACUGUGACUAUAUUUGCUACAAAUCUCUUUGGCAAACGUUGUUUUACCUAUACCGCCUGUACCCCAAAUUCCAAUUAUUUGAACAUCAGGUGAACCUCCAACGUCUAAGUAUUUAGUGUUGAAUUCUUUCACGCGAAGAGCUAUUCCAACUGAGUGCUUGGCAUUUUUGAAGUCUCUGGGGGUCAAUCGUCCCUUGAUGUCCCCAAUAAUUUUCUCAAUAAACACUCCUUCGCGCCUACAAGUAGAAAUUCCAAAUUACAAGAGCCAUACUAAUGCCUUAUUCAUCAUGACUAUAUAUUUACAUAUUGAAACAGGUUUGAAUAAAUUGUGAUUUACUGAGCUCAAUUCAACAACGUAUUUAAUCUUCAAUUAUAAUGUGAAUAGAUUAGAUCAUUGGUCAUUGGACUAUUACACCAUUGUAGCUUUCAGUUAUAUAAUUAAGAAUCCAUUACAAUUGGUAUUUUAAUUUGAUAAAGUGUGGAGCAUUUGUUCUUCACACACCCAUAAAAAACGAAGCAUUGUACCCUGCAUUUCACUUCCUUAGUUUUGACGGCAAUUCAUAUGCAAAUGCUCUACCAUUUAUAAAAUUCAUAUACCAAUUCUAAUAAAUUUUUAUGCAGUGACCAAAAUUACAAUUCUAUCAUAGUUCAGGGACCAAUGAUCCAAUUUUUCUUCUAACAUAUAAAAUCAUAUUCAAUGCCUUAAUUAUAAUUUCUUAAUUUUGGUUAAUUAGUGAAAUAACUCCGCCUGUGUAAGUUUAUCUUACAUUGCCGGUCCCAAGCCCGGGUAAAGGAGGAGGGGGGAGGGCGUCAGGUAGUCGACAGUCGGCACUACACAGUUACGUCGAAUCCUUAUGAAAAUGAAUCCAUAACGAAAUCGCGCUAAAGCUAGGGCGUCACCCGUAAGUGGCGCGCUGUGUGGCCCGAGCACAGUGAUAAGUGAGCAAGGGUCGCUGUAUCUCCAUAGGCACCCGGAUGCAGUGUUAAAUGAGCAAGGGGGCCAUAGAAACUUCUUUUUGAACGACUCCACUCAAAGUUGUUUAGGAGCAUAUGCUCCUAUCAACUUUACACGGGACACACAAAAGAAGUACUUUGAUUCCAUUGGACGGGGGAGGGUGAAGAAGCUAGGACAGAAGGGUAGAGUUCAAGAGAGUAGAAUGCGUUUAGGAACGUGGAAUAUAGGAACCUUAACGGGAAAAUCUAUGGAAGUAGUGGAAGUUAUGGUAAGGAGAAGGAUAAAUAUUAUGUGCCUAUAAGAAACUAAGUGGGUUGGUCUUAAGGCAAAGGAUCUAGAAAACUCAGGGUUUAAACUUUGGUACUCGGGCACAAAUAGAACGAGAAACGGUGUUGGCAUCAUCGUGGACAAGACCUUGACACAAGAUGUUGUAGAUGUCAAGAGGGUAGGAGAUAGAAUUAUGGCAAUCAAGAUUGUAAUAGGACAAGAACUCAUCAAUGUGAUUAGUGCGUACGCACCUCAAGUAGGGUUGGAUGCGAGUUCGAAGGAGAAAUUUUGGGAAGACCUUGGAGACUUGGUGCAAGGAAUUGCCCAGACAGAGAAGUUAUUUAUAGGAGGAGAUUUAAAUGGACACGUGGGCAGGGAGACAGGCAACUAUGGAGGUUUUCAUGGUGGCCAUGGUUUUGGGGAGAGAAACGAGGAUGGGAAAGCUAUCUUGGAUUUUGCAAUGGCAUAUGAUCUCUUCUUAGCCAACACCUUCUUUAAGAAAAGAGAAGAACAUGUGAUCACCUACAAGAGUGGGUUGUCAAAAACACAAAUAGAUUUUCUUCUAAUUUGGAAAGGGGAUCGUAUAACUUGUAAGGAUUGCAAAGUUAUACCGGGAGAGAGCUUGGCUAAUCAACAUCGCUUGUUGGUGAUAGAUGUACAUAUCAAAAGAGUGAGAAAAAAGAACAAGACUUGGAAGUGCCCAAGGACUAGAUGGUGAAAUCUAAAAGGAGAAAAACAAGUCAUUUUCAAAGAGAAAGUAAUCACCCAGUGUGGGUGGGAUAGAGAGGGGGAAGUUAGCCAAAGGUGGGAUUCCAUGGCUAGUUGUAUACGAAAAGUAGCAAAAGAGGUAUUAGGAGAGUCCAAGGGCUUUGCUCCACACCAAAAGGAAUCUUGGUGGUGGACUGAGGAGGUACAAACAAAGGUGAAGGCUAAGAAAGAAUGUUGUAAAGCCCUAUACAAGGACAUGACCGAUGAAAAUGGUGAAAGGUAUAGAAGAGCGAAGCAAGAGGCGAAGAAAGCUGUGAGAGAAGCUAAGUUAGCGGCUUAUGACGAUAUGUAUAAGCGACUAGCAAAAGAAUGAGAGUUGGAUAUUUAUAAACUAGCUAGAGCAAGGGAAAAGAAGACAAGGGACCUAAACCAAGUGAGGUGCAUCAAGGAUGAGGAUGGAAAGGUUCUUGCUACAGAGAACGCGGUCAAAGACAGAUGGAGAGGUUAUUUUCAUAAUCUUUUCAAUGAAGGACAUGAAAUGAGUACUUCUUUAGGGGAGUUGAGUAACUCAGAAGAGUGUAGAAACUACUCAUUUUAUCGUCGAAUCAGGAAGGAAGAAGUGGUUGUAGCUUUGAAGAAGAUGAAGCAUCGAAAAGCAGUGGGCCCAGACGAUAUACCGAUCGAAGUGUGGAAAGUCUUGGGAGAGACAGGUAUAGCAUGGCUCACUGACCUUUUCAAUAGGAUUUUGAAAAUGAAGAAGAUGCCAAAUGAGUGGCGAAAUAGCACUUUGGUGCCUAUCUACAAGAAUAAGGGCGACGUACAAAACUGCAUGAACUAUAGGGGUAUUAAGCUAAUGAGUCAUACAAUGAAGCUCUGGGAGAGAGUCAUUGAGCAUAGAUUGAGGCAAGAGACACGGGUUUCGGACAACCAAUUCGGGUUCAUGCCAGGGCGCUCAACCAUGGAGGCAAUCUAUCUCUUACGAAUAUUGAUGGAAAGAUAUAGAGAUGGGAAAAAUGAUUUACAUAUGGUCUUUAUAGAUUUGGAAAAAGCGUAUGAUAGGGUCCCAAGAGACAUUCUUUGGAGGAUUUUAGAGAAGAAAGGAGUACGAGUAGCAUAUAUCCAAGCUAUAAAGGAUAUGUAUGAAGGAGCAAAGACUGCCGUAAGAACUUAUGAAGGACAAACCGAAAGCUUCCCCAUAACUGUAGGAUUACAUCAAGGCUCAUCCUUAAGUCCUUACCUUUUUGCGUUGGUAAUGGAUGAGUUAAUAGGACAUAUUCAAGAUGAUCUUCCUUGGUGUAUGCUUUUCGCAGAUGAUAUAGUGUUGAUAGAUGAAACUCAGGAAGGGGUAAAUACGAAGCUUAACCUUUGGAGAGAAGUGUUGGAAUCUAAAGGUCUUCGCCUAAGCCGAUCAAAGACAGAAUAUAUGGAAUGCAAGUUCAGUGCAAAUGGAGGCCAAAAUGAGUUAGGGGUGAGGAUCGGAGAUCAGGAAAUGCCAAAGAGCGAUCGUUUUUUCUACUUAGGAUCUAUCUUGCAAAAGAACGGAGAAUUAGAUGGAGAUCUCAACCAUAGAAUACAAGCUGGAUGGAUGAAGUGGAAGAGUGCAUCCGGCGUGUUGUGUGACCGCCGUAUGCCACUGAAGCUCAAGGGAAAAUUUUAUAGGACGACAAUAAGGCCGGCGAUGCUGUAUAGCACAGAAUGUUGGGCGGUGAAGCAUCAACACGUACAUAAAAUGGGUGUAGCGGAGAUGAGGAUGCUUCGUUGGAUGUGUGGGCACACGAGAAAGGAUAAGAUUAUGAAUAAGGAUAUCCGAGGUAAAGUAGGAGUAGCCGAAAUUGUAGAAAAGUUGAGAGAAAAUCGGUUACGGUGGUUUGGACAUGUGCAAAGAAGGCCUACUGACGCUCCGGUUAGAAGAUGGGACUACGGGACAGAGGUUCAAGGCCGAAGGGGUAGAGGAAGACCUAGGAAAACUUUGGAAGAGACUCUAAGAAAAGACUUAGAGUAUUUGGAUUUAACAGAUGACAUGACACAGGACCGAGCACAAUGGCGUUCUAAGAUUCAUAUAGCCGACCCCACUCAGUGAAGAAGGCUUUGGUGUCUUUAACACAAUACGUUGGAAAUGAAGCAAAGCUUAUGUAUUGAUAUCUCCGAUAAGUUACAAAUAUGUACAUAUACAUGAGUCAAAAUAAACAAACAAGAGGGAGCCUUCACAAAGGUUGCUUAGGAGAAGUCUCAGCAGUCGGUAGAGCCCCAGAAAGAGAAGGCACCGGAGGGGGAUCAUUCGGAGCCUCAGUACUGGACAGAACCCUAGAAGGAAGAGGCAUCGGAGGUUGAUCAUUUGGAGCUUCAUUAUGCAGUACAGCCCCAGAAGACGAAGGCAAUAAAUGCCUUUGGAACAAACCCACAAACCGCUGAUGAUCAAGUAAAACUUGACCAUCAGAUUCCUUCAUCUGGUCAAGCUUCCUCUUCAUGUUUAUAACAUAGUUAUGUGCGAGCCGGUGCAACUGUUUAUUCUCAUGCUUGAGCCCGCUAAUCUCCUGUUUGAGACUCAUCACUUCAGCCGCCAAUGAUUCAACUUGGCGGGUUCGAGCAAAUAGGCGUUGGGCCAUAUUAGACACAGAACCUGCACACUGAACACUCAGAGCCAGAGAAUCCUUAACAACCAAUUCAACAGACCGUUUGGAAAGUAGUCUGUUAUCUUUGGGAGUGAGAAGGUUCCUGGCCACCACCGCAGCGGUCAUAUCAUUCUUCAUCACAGAAUCCCCAACGGUAAGAGGACCAGUAGGGGAUAAGAAGGAUGGGCGCCAUAUGUUGUCUGGAGAAGGUGUGGCUGCCUCUUCAACAAGGUUCAAGUCAAAACGACGGUCGGAGGGGCCAGACAUUUUCAAAGGUGUUGAAGAGAGAAAAGGUCAGACAAAUCAAGAUCUUAGAAGUGCAAGAAGGGAGCUUCUACUGGUGAAGAUUCAGGUGUGCUUUGAAACUUAAUGCCAGCCUCUAUAAAAAUCUGCACUUGACGGAGCUUCAGAAAUCAAAGAGGCAUCUGCCCAGAAAUCGAAGAGGCGUUUGCUUUCUCAAAAGUUGGGCUGCUCAGAGACCACGAGGGCCGAUUUCAGAAAUCGAAGAGGCGUUUGCUUUCUCAAAAGCUGGGCUGCUCAAAGACCACGAAGGCUGAUCUCAGAAAUCGAAGAGGCGCUUGCUUUCUCAAAAGAUGGGCUGCUCAGAGACCACAAGGGCCGAUCUCAGAAAUCGAAGAGGCACCUGUUUUUUUUUUUUUCAGCCUUGUCAGCAUCUGUCACAUGCACACUCAGCUUUGCUGAAAUUACGGGCAUUCUGGUGAAGUAGAAAGCACGUGAAUCUUAUUGUUCAAUCAUCCACUUUUCACACGCACCAUCAGCUCAUGGGUACCACAGAUAACUUUGCCAAAGAUCUCUGACAAAGUUUAGACACGUGAAGCUUGCAGCUCCCACUACAUCGCUAUGACCAAGAAGGGUAAAAUAAUAGCAAAGAAACAACACUAACAAAGUUUAGACACAGAAAUUUUGAAGGUCUAGCUAUCAUAUUAUUACCCACAAGGGUAAAGGAACAACAUCACGGCUGGAUAAUUGGAAAGUCCCUGUGUGUCAACCUCUGUGCUCCAUGGCAAGGUAGACUAGCAAACAUGCCCUACCUUUACUCACAUUCGAGAAAACACUCCAAACAAGAUUGCUUGCUCCAAAAUCGAAGAGGCACCGUCCUCCGAAUCUUGAGAGCCAGACUCCCAACAUGAUUACUUUCUCAAAAAUCGAAGAGACACCGCUCUCCGAAUCUCGAGAGCCAGACUCCCAGCAGGAUUGCUCUCUCAAAAAUCGAAGAGGCACCGUUCUCCGAAUCUCGAGAGACAGAUCCCCGACAGGAUUGCUUGUUCGAAAACUGAAGAGGCAUCACUUUCUCAACUUCGAGAGCCAGAUCUCCUUGGAUAAAGCUUGUCUGUAAUCUUCACACGCAACAUCAGCUUUCCAGAUACCACAGACCACUUUUUCAAAGUGCUCUGACACACGUGAAGCUGGCAGCUCCCACUACCGUGCUAUGACCAAGCAGGGUAAAGGAAUAGCAUUACUACUUGUUGUUAGGGAGACUCCUAUAUAUGUCGACCUCCAUCUUCAACGGACAGGCAGACCUGCAAAAAUGCUCAACCAUUCCUCAUAUCUGAGAGGGCACUCCCAACGAAGCCUCUCGAAAUACUCAGCUUUCUUUCCCCCCCCCCCCCCGAUAAUACCUUUGCAAACAAGCUACACCAGAGCAAGAAUAUCUCAUAUCAUCAGGGUUAAAAGCAAGAGUAUCCUAUAUCAUGCUAUUUCCCUGUCUUUUCCUUUGGCCUUGUUCUUACCUGCAAGACAAGGAGAACAUCUACCUAUGAGACAGAUAAGGCAAGUGAAGACGAUACCACACUUCGGUACUUAGAAGUUUCGUGAUUACGAUAUCAUUCUCCCACAAUAUUUCCUUAUGUCAUUUGUACUAAAUCAUUCAUUUGUACCCACUAAAGGAGAGCUUGAACCUAUGUACUUGUGUAAACCCUUCACAAUUAAUGCGAACUCAUCUACUCCAUAGACGUAGCCAAUCUGGGUAAACCACGUACAUCUUAUGUUUGCUUUCCUGUCUCUAUCCAUUUACAUACUUAUCCACCAUAAUGACCAGAGCAAUAAGUUAAUACUUUCUGUUGUACCAAAGUCCUCACUGAUUUUUUGCAUCAACAAGCCUUAAGUCCUUACCCUUUUGCGUCGCAAAUGAUAUAAGGUUGAUAGAUGAAACUCAUGAGGGGUAAAUGCGAAGCUUAACCUUUGGAGAGAAGUGGUGGAAUCUAAAGGUCUUCGCCUAAGCCGAUCAAAGACAGCAUAUAUGGAGUGCAAGUUCAGUGCAAAUGGAGACCAAAAUGAGUUAGGGGCGAGGAUCGGAGAUCAGGUAAUACCAAAGAGCGACCGUUUUCGCUACCUAGGAUCUAUCUUGCAAAAGAACGGAGAAUUAGAUGGAGAUCUCAAUCAUAGAAUACAAGCUGGAUGGAGAGGUGGUCUGUGAAGGUAGUGCGUGUCGUCACCUCUAAAGCUCAAAAACACCUCGUUCUUCCAGCGGUUUGAGCGGCACGGGCAAGACGAAGAGGCUGCGAUGGCGGUUCCAUGGACAGAGCUGAUGGUAUCUAUCGAUAAUUGGUACUAGCGUUGGGAGACUAGAGGGAGUGCAGCAGGCUGUGCGGCUUGGCUUUCAGAUAGCCAAAGCUCAGUCAAAUGUCAUCGCCUAAGUAUUAUAGAGAAACAAAAUGCGUGGAGCGAUAUGAAUAUACAUGUACAUGGCAUUGCAUAAGUUUACUACAAAAUAUGGUAACACCCUAAUUUUUAUGGACAUAGUACUAUCAGUAUUUGUGACUAUCUGCAUUGCAACUAUCCAAUAUUGCCAUGACAAUAGUUAUAUCCCAUCCAAUAAAGAAAUUAGAUAUGUCAAGGAACACACCCUUCACAUGAUCGGUACUUAACCCAUCGUAGCUUAAUUUAAGCGAUUCAUGAAUUUUUUUCAUGUGAAAUAUUUUAUUCAAUGUACUUUCCCAUAUGCUUCUACUUUUUUUCGUAGCCAACAAAUGGCCAACAACUUUCUGAGCUAGGGGCAAUCCUCCACAAUAAAGAACAACAUCUUCUGUGAUGUUGAGGUCGUUGCUGUCAACGAUCCCUUCAUCACCACCCGACUACAUGGUAAGUAAUUUACAUGGGUUUCCGCCUGUGACUGAAAACAGGUUCUCAGCUGAGUAGAUAGAAGUAUGCAGGGUUGCCAGGGCAUACAAUUCAUUAGUUGUGGGAUAUGUAUAUAUCUCGUCACGUCCCAUGCAGACACAUACCAACAUUUCAGGAUCGGGUGGAUUGAGUCUUAAAAUUGAAAAUUAGUUUAUAUGACAAAUUGAAAAAAAAAAGAAAAAAAAAAGUAAGCAAGCUCAUAUGACAUUUAAAAAAAAAAAUUCUUGUUCUCAAUUGUAGAACAUAGCUCUAACCACUUAUUGCACAAACACAUAAACCAUGACGAUGAUACGUUUGUUAGUUCUCAGUUUUUAUUUUGGACUUGGAAGUUGUGGGCACGGUGUUGCUGUUAGGAACGGAUUCAACUCUGAUGUACCUCUAACUAAUGCAUUGGUGACCGGUUCUGUCAAAACCGCUGCCAGCUUGUUCCGGUUGCAGAGAAAAAUGUGAUUUCUUGUUGCUCCAUGAUUGCUCUUUCACACUUAACAGGCAAGAACACUUACAUCUAUGAUAGGUGAAGAGAGAAAUUUCCUUGAAAUGAGGUGGUUUAUAGAACACUCAAGGCUCAAGCCAACCCCUAAGAUAUGUCUCUAAUUAAUGAUGUGUAAGACAUACUUACAUGUAAAUUUCUCUAAUGUCACUGAUCAAAUUGGAAAUUAUUAAUUUAUAUUUGUUAAGAUGAUAAGUUACUUAAAAAAAAUAAAAAAAGGACUCGUGACAUUGCUUCUCUAGAAAGUGCUUAAGCUAGAAGUGCUUCUAUUAUAACCACAUUGAAAUUUUUAUUAGAAACUCAAGUACAUUCUAAAAAACCACUUAAGGAUGCUUUUCGAAAAUAAAAAAAAGGCGUAUGCUUCUCCAUGAACCGCUUCUUUGAGCCAUAUGAACAAUUUAAACAAACCCCUAACUAGCGAGCAUGGCCUAGCCCAACCCCCAAUAUUACUCUUAGAAGCAACGAAAUUGAGAUGUAAAAACAUGUUUUCAUGGUCUUUAUAGAGGAAAAAGAUAGGGUAAAAUGACCUAAAUGGGUAAGAUUUAUAAACAAGUUGAUUCAUGCUUCAUAAUUGCAUCAGUUCCUUUGCAGUUUGUAGUAAAUGUCUACGUACCUUCCUUACAAGUCUCUUUACUGCGCUUUCCUUCAAUUCACUGUUGUUUUGUCAUCGUCAAAGCUUUCAAUAUUAAGAUCAAACCUUAAUAUUUUGCAGACCUCAUCAGAUGAGUGGCCUCUUUAACUCUGUACCAUCGUCAGUGUCGUCAUCAAACUCAUAUGGUAUAAUCUGAUAGUCUUCCUCAUCAGUAUCAUCAUCUCACGCUGUCACGCCCCGAUCCCCACAUACGUCCAGGAUCGACACUUGACGUCAUCAAAUAACCACAUAUCUAACAUACCCCGCCUCCAAGAUAUGUACAAAGCACAACUCGAGAAUCGAAUCGCAUAGAAGUAUUUCGUAUACUUUAUGGCUGCAUCUAACCUCUUCGUUAGACUGCCUACAUACCCUCAUUAGGGAUCAAGCCAUUCGUAGUUCGUCAUUCAUUACACCUCGACAUUUAUCACAAUACGUUCAAAUCGAAAAGCAUAGCAUUCCUCAAUCAAUUAUUAGAACUUAACAAGCAUGAAUUACUAGAUUCAUGGUUACAUAACAAAUCCACAUGACAUUCAAGGUUUCCAUUCCAUCCAUCAUAUAAAUCACUAUGUUUUCAACGUGAUAUCUCCAUCCACAACAUGUAACUUAUCCAAUAACCAACGAAGCACAAUAUUAUUCUUAAGCCACAUUGAUCACUAAAUAAUCAUAAUAAUAACAAUCAUAUUCAACAUCAUUCCACAAUUCCCGUCAAUUAAUCCCUUCAUGAAUCAAGGAUGCAUGAUCUUAGCAUUUAACUACGUUAAUCAAUCAAUGAGAUAACAUACCAUUUCACCAAUUCAAUUAGAGAACUCUAUAUAAUUCCCUACUUGGGUUAUGAGUAAUAACAUGGUAAUUCUAAUUUAUAUUCACAAGGUCUAUGGAUAAUUCCCAUUUGCUCGAAUCUAGGGUUCUAGACUAACCUUUUGGAACGUGCAAGAGUAAGGAUUUCGGACCACUCAACGGAAUUCAACCACAUCGGGUUCCAGACCACUCAACGGAACCAAAAUAUCAAUCGGUUUCUCGUAAUCUAUCCAGACCUGUUGCAUGUAAAAUCAGUGCCUACAUCAUGGAAAUGGUGCAUUGGGUAAUUCAGAACUUGGAUAAGUUGUGAAACUCAGGUGAACGACAAUAAUACAAAGUGUGAUAAUAGUGAUAAAACCAACCAUCAAUCACAGUUUAUAAACUUUGAAUAUGAAUCAUUCAUAAGAAAUUAAUACCAAACCUUCGCAAACUCUGAAGGAGUCACCCAAACAUCCAACGGUUCGUCUGAAACAAUCACAACAUCUCAUAACCAUAUUCUCAUACAACACCAUGAAAAGUAGGGUUAGAGCGACAUAGUUCGGCCGAAGCCUAUACCUUUGAAGCUAUCUCAAUCCAAACUCAAUGAAACCCAAGGUGAAUACAAUUCCGGAACUUCACUCAACGGAAUCGCGGAGUAGAAGGGAUUCUGGACCAUCUCUCAUGGAAUCCAAGUGGAUACGAUUCCGGAACAUCACUCAACGGAAUCGCGGAAGGCCAACAACCAUAAUGUACAACGGCUCAAAGAAAUGAGACAAGCACAAGCUACUAAAUUUACAAAAGCUUAACCAAGGGAAAUAAGGCACAUAUGCUAAAUUUAAAACGAAUCAACGAAGAGGGAAAAGAAACAAUAUCGAAGCAACAUAUCCCCAAUCACAACGGGUUCACAGUCCACCACUAGUCUUCACAUUUCAUCACAUCAAGCCAACCAUACAAAGCAAACCAUGUUUCUAAUAUGCACGUCAAAUCCCACAUCAUAAACUAUAACGAUGGCACUUUAUAGAAAACAUAAUCAUAAAACCGUCUCAUACCCUCUCAGGAUAAUAAUUAUGAAAAUAGAGUAAUCACCUGUAACAUAUAUUAAAGUCACUCACCCUUUUUUUUUUAUGUACAUAUACAUGAGUCAAAAUAAACACACAAGAGGGAGCCUUCACAAAGGUUGCUUAGGAGAAGUCUCAGCAGUCGGUAGAGCCCCAGAAAGAGAAGGCACCGGAGGGGGAUCAUUUGGAGCCUCAGUACUGGACAGAACCCUAGAAGGAGGAGGCAUCAGAGGUUGAUCAUUUGGAGCUUCAUUACGCGGUACAGCCCCAGAUGACGAAGGCAAUAAAUGCCUUUGGAACAAACCCACAAAUCUCUGAUGAUCAAGUAAAACCUGACCAUCAGUUUCCUUCAUCUGGUCAAGCUUCCUCUUCAUGUUUGUAGCAUAGUCAUGUGCGAGCCGGUGCAACUGUUUAUUCUCCUGUUUGAGACCUCUAAUCUCCUGUUUGAGACUCAUCACUUCAGCCGCCAAUGAUUCAACUUGGCGGGUUCGAGCAAAUAGGCGUUGGGCCAUAUUAGACACAGAACCUGCACACUGAACACUGAGAGCCAGCGAAUCCUUAACAGCUAACUCAUCAGACCGUUUGGAAAGUAGUCUGUUAUCUUUGGGAGUGAGAAGGUUCCUGGCCACCACCGCAGCGGUCAUAUCAUUCUUCAUCACGGAAUCCCCAACGGUAAGAGGACCAGUAAGGGAGACGAAGGAUGGGCGCCAUAUGUUGUCUGGAGAAGGCGGGGCUGCCUCUUCAACAAGGUUCAAGUCAAAACGACGGUCGGAGGGGCCAGACAUUUUCAAAGGUGUUGAAGAGAGAAGAGGUCGGACAAAUCAAGAUCUUAGAAGUGCAAGAAUGAAGCUUCUACUGGUGGAGAUUCAAGUGUGCUUUGGAACGUAAUGCCAGCCCCUAUAAAAAUCUGCACUCGACGGAGCUUCAGAAAUCGAAGAGGCGCCUGCUCAGAAAUCGAAGAGGCGUUUGCUUUCUCAAAAGCUGGGCUGCUUAGAGAUCACGAGGGUUGAUCUCAGAAAUCGAAGAGGCGUUUGCUUUCUCAAAAGUUGGGCUGCUCAAAGACCACGAAGGCUAAUCUCAGAAAUCGAAGAGGCGCUCGCUUUCUCAAAAGCUGGGCUCCCCAGAGACCACGAGGGCCGAUCUCAGAAAUCGAAGAGGCACCUACUUUUCCAGCCUUGUCAGCACCUGUCACACGCACACUCAGCUUUGCGGAAAUUAUGGGCAUUCUGUCGAAGACUUCUGGGGAAGUAGAAAACACAUGAAUCUUACUGUUCAAUCACCCACUUCCCACACGCAACAAUAGCUCAUGGGUACCACAGAAAACUUUGCCAAAGUUCUCUGCCAAAGUUGAGCACGUGAAGCUUGCAGGUCCCCACUACAUCGCUCUGACCAAGAAGGGUAAAAGAAUAGCAAAGAAAUAGCACUAACAAAGUUUAGACCUAUAAAUUUUGAAGGUCUAGCUACCAUAUUAUUACCCACAAGGGUAAAGGAACAGUACCACUGCUGGAUAAUUGGAAAGUCCCUGUGUGUCAACCUCUGUGCUUCGUGGCAAGGUAGACUAGCAAAACAUGCCCAACCUUUACUCACAUUCGAGAAAACACUCCCAAUAAGAUUGCUUGCUCCAAAAGCCAGACUCCCAACAUGACUACUUUCUUAAAAAUCGAAGAGAGGGUAAAGGAACAGUACCAUUGCUGGAUAAUUGGAAAGUCCCUGUGUGUCAACCUCUGUGCUUCGUGGCAAGGUAGACUAGCAAACAUGCCCAACCUUUACUCACAUUCGAGAAAACACUCCCAACAAGAUUGCUUGCUCCAAAAUCGAAGAGGCACCGCCCUCCGAAUCUCGAGAGCCAGACUCCCAACAUGAUUACUUUCUCAAAAAUCGAAGAGACACUGCUCCCCGAAUCUUCGAGAGCCAGACCCCCAGCAUGAUUGCUUUCUCAAAAAUCGACGAGGCAUCGUUCUUCGAAUCAAUCGAAAAGGCGCUCGCUUUCUCAAAAGCUGGGCUGCUCAGAGACCACGAGGCUCGAUCUCAGAAAUCGAAGAGGCACCUACUUUUCUAGCCUUGUCAGCACCUGUCACACGCACACUCAGCUUUGCAGAAAUUAUGGGCAUUCUGUCGAAGACUUCUGGUGAAGUAGAAAGCACAUGAAUCUUACUGUUCAAUCACCCACUUCCCACACGCAACAAUAGCUCAUGGGUACCACAGAUAACUUUGCCAAAGUUCUCUGCCAAAGUUGAGCACGUGAAGCUUGCAGCUCCCACUAAAUCGCUCUGACCAAGAAAGGUAAAAGAAUAGCAAAGAAACAGCACUAACAAAGUUUAGACACAUAAAUUUUGAAGGUCUAGCUACCAUAUUAUUACCCACAAGGGUAAAGGAACAGUACCACUGCUGGAUAAUUGGAAAGUCCCUGUGUGUCAACCUCUGUGCUUCGUGGCAAGGUAGACUAGCAAACAUGCCCAACCUUUACUCACAUUCGAGAAAAACACUCCCAACAAGAUUGCUUGCUCCAAAAUCGAAGAGGCACCGUCCUCCGAAUCUCGAGAGCCAGACUCCCAACAUGACUACUUUCUCAAAAUCGAAGAGAGGGUAAAGGAACAGUACCAUUGCUGGAUAAUUGGAAAGUCCCUGUGUGUCAACCUUUGUGCUUCGUGGCAAGGUAGACUAGCAAACAUGCCCAACCUUUACUCACAUUCGAGACAACACUCCCAAUAAGAUUGCUUGCUCCAAAAUCGAAGAGGCACCGCCCUUCGAAUCUCGAGAGCCAGACUCCCAACAUGAUUACUUCCUCAAAAAUCGAAGAGACACUGCUCUCCGAAUCUCGAGAGCCAGACCCCCAGCAUGAUUGCUUUCUCAAAAAUCGAAGAGGCAUCGUUCUCCGAAUCUCGAGAGCCAGAUACCACAGACCACUUUUUCAAAGUGCUCUGACAGAGUUAAAACAUGUGAAACUGGCAGCUCCCACUACCGUGAUAUGACCAAGCAGGGUAAAGGAAUAGCAUUACUACUUGUUAGGGAGACUCCUAUAUAUGUCGACCUCCAUCCCCAACGAACAGGCAGACCUGCAAAAAUGCUCAACCCUUCAUCAUAUAUGAGAGGGCACUCCCAACGAAACCUUUCGAAAUAUUCAGCUUUCUUUCCCCCCGAUAAUACCUCUGCAAACAAGCUAUACUAGAGCAAGAAUAUCUCAUAUCAUCAGGGUUAAAAGCAAGAGUAUCCCAUAUCAUGCUUUUUCCCUGUCUUUUCCUUUGGCCUUGUUUUUACCUGCAAGACAAGGAGAAAGAGAGCAAUCAGUCAGCACUUGGAAUCAAGCUUCCAGCCAGGAACUGACUGCCUGGAACCGCUUACCUGAUUACUUACCUGGCAUUGCUCUCGAGUACUCAUCUUCAACAUCUUAUGUUUCCAGGGAAGAUUCCGCAUCUGCUUGAGGAACAGAUAGGGCAAGUGCGAAGGAUACAAGGAAGCAUGUGGAGACAAGCGUAACAGCACACGUGCCGAUACAUCCAUUACUCUGUCAAAAGCAAAAGUAUCCCAUAUCAGCAGGGUGGAACGUACUCUAGAUUUGAUGGACUUGUUUUGACCCUCAAAUUCUUCAGUCGGCCUUAUACUCUGGAGGAAACCAGAAAACCCUCCAGCUCAGUUCAAGAAUAAGCCUGUGGAAAGUUACUUCUUCAAAAGCAAAAGUAUCUCAUAUCAUCUCUUCUCAUUUUUCUUCUCUUUAUCCUUCAUGCUGCUGAAAGAUGGGGAGAAGGUGAACAAUCAGUUGGAGCUUUGAUUGCUUACCUUGUCUGUCACCUCUUUCAGCAGACCCCCUAGCUCGGCGACUUGGGGGACUCCUACUACAUGGUUUGUAUCGCGCUUGACCAAGCCUGAAACUACAAGUAAGCUUCAAGUGAAAUUGAUACAUUACCUUGUGCAUCUCCACCAGUUAAAGAUACCACCCCUGGAUGGAGGAAGAGUACUUCCAGAGAAGAUGCCACAUCUACCUAUGAGACAGAUAAGGCAAGUCAAGACGACACCACACUCCGAUACUUAGAAGUUUCGUGAUUACGAGAUCAUUCUCCCACAAUAUUUCCUAAUGUCAUUUGUACUAAAUCAUUCACUUGUACUCACUAAAGGAGAGCUUGAACCUAUGUACUUGUGUAAACCCUUCACAAUUAAUGAGAACUUUUCUAUUCCGUGGACGUAGCCAAUCUGGGUGAACCACGUACAUCUUGUGUUUGCUUUCCUAUCUCUAUCCAUUUAUAUACUUAUCCACACUAAUGACCGGAGCAAUCUAGCGAAGAUCACAAAAAGCGACCGUUUUCGCUACCUAGGAUCUAUCUUGCAAGAGAACGGAGAAUUAGAUGGAGAUCUCAACCAUAGAAUACGAGCUGGAUGGAUGAAGUGUAAGAAUGCAUCCGGCGUGUUGUGUGUGACCGUCGUAGGCCACUGAAGCUCAAGGGAAAAUUUUAUAGGACGGCAAUAAGGCCAGCGAUGUUGUAUGGCACAGAAUGUUGGGCGGUGAAGCAUCAACACGUACACAAAAUGGGGUGUAGCGGAGAUGAGGAUGCUUCGUGGGAUGUGUGGGCACACGAGAAAGGAUAAGAUUGGGAAUGAGGAUAUCCGAGGUAAAGUAGGAGUAGCCGAAAUUGUAGGAAAGAUGAGAGAAAAUCGGCUCCGGUGAUUUGGACAUGUGCAAAGAAGGCCGAAUGACGCUCCGGUUCGAAGAUGUGACUACGGGACAGAGGUUCAGGGCCGAAGGGGUAGAGAAAGACCUAGGAAAUCUUUGGAAGAGACUCUAAGAAAAGACUUAGAGUACUUGGAUCUAACGGAGGAUAUGACACAAAACCGAGCGCAAUGGCGUUCUAGGAUUCAUAUAGCCGACCCCACUUAGUGGGAAAAGGCUUUGUUGUUGUUGUUGUUGAACCAUACAUAUUAUUUCUCAUCCAUGAAAUCAACAUUUUAACGUUCUAUUCCUAUGCUUGUAACCUUCAUUCUCCAUCCUUUAAUAAACCAACCCAAAGUUAAUGGUUUUUCAACUUAAAACACCACCUCUUCACUCAUGCCACUACCCCUUUUGACAUGUAUAUGCGGCAAUAUAUAUAUAUAUAUAUUAAUUAAGAGAAACUAGAUCGUUUACUAAUAACUUGAAUAUAACUACUAGUAAACAAUCUAAACUCUUAAACCCCAACUAAACACACUCAAAUAAGCACAAGAUUAACAAGGAUGUCAUUUCAACUAUAAUUCCCUUCUAGGUCUAGAUGCUUGGUAACGAAAGAAGUAUCUCAUAAAUCUAAUGUCACAUAUCGGAAAAUUCGACUUUUUCCAAAAAUUCUCAAAUUUUACAAGAAUGAAGGUCUCAACAAGUAGAGUAAAUUUUAUAUUUGUGGCCAAGUCCAAUUUGACCGGGAAGGCUCUCAAAUUGGCUCGUAUCCAUCGAAAACCCUAAGGUGGGUGUUCUUCAAUUCGGCUUCCUUGGUGUUCCAAUGCCCCUACAACUAAUUGGGUCUUGUUCUUGGGUCCAAGAGAAGUUGAUCAAGGGUGAUGUGAAUGGUGAUACUCUCCAGAAUGACAAUUCGUCGUCGAGAACCCCCGGGUUCUCCUAUGGAGUUCUACAUGAAAUAGACCUUAAAAACCCUUGAUAUUUGGUGGAGGUGGAAGGAGGAAUGUAGUUGAGCAGGUUGCAGGUGAAGGAGAUAAGAAAAUCAGUUGAGAAAUGGUAGAAAUUUGCAUGAAGUUGGCCGGAUCAAAACCAUUUUUUUUUUUGUGGUGCACGGGUUCACCAAAUGGGGGGGACUCCUUUCCCUCCUUUUCUUUCUUCACUCGCCACUCCCGUGGCUUUAUCUUUUUUUUUUUUUUUUAAGCAACACAACUUCAAACUUCCGUAAUUAUACCGUUAUAAUCCGGACUCGCAAAUGGUUUUCGCCUAUGCUUUCGUGACUUCAAGACCUAUUCGAAAACGUUACUUGUGACCUCGAAAGGUCAACGAGUAAAUAAUAAUUCCAAACUUCACUCUUCGUAACUAGAUUAAUUGAAAUCUAAUUUCAAAUAAAUUAAUAUAAAUUCUCAAAAAGUAAUAUAAAUCUCAAUAAUACAAUUACGUAGAUUAUAACAGUGAAAUCCAGAAACGGGAUUUCACACACCCUUAUGGUACGCGCUCAUAGUUCACUUUUUUUAUUUCUGAAGGUAAACAAUGUUCCCAUCCUACAGAAUUUACUCCUGUUUUCUUCACCUUAAAUUGAUGAUCAUCCUCUGUUCCAAAAAAUUCUGCAUGCACACGAACCUUGUCGCCACUUUUCAGAUUGAGCUUCCUGUUUGAAAGACUUCCCAGCCAAAGAUAAUCUUCAUGGGAGCCAGUUAUGGUGGCAUCCAUUCACCAGAUGGAAAAAUAAGUUCGCUGGGAAGGAUUAACCACAUCAAUCCAUAAAGACCCACUACACUGCGAUGGUCCAAAGAAUAAACGAUGCACACAGCCAACCCUCCUAUAUAAUCAAUACUUGGCGGCACAUCAAAUUUGACAUUUUCAUCCUCUGUCACGACAUAGGUUAACCAUUAAGGAAUAACAUUUCAAGAGCGACCGAUUCCUCCAAAUACAUCCCCCACGUUCCAUUUCUACAACGCGGCGUGCAAAGUUUGUAUAAGCAACAAUACGAGAAGGGCACAGAGAGAGAGAGAGAGAUCGAGGCUAUCAUGCAACAAAAUAUAAAACUCAUCUAGGACAAUUAUGACUAUUGUGAAUUGGUAAUAUUAUCGAUGGAUAUGUUAUAUGAUCUUCAAACUCGCUAUAGCAUGAUUUUUUUUUUUUGUAUCCUUUUCGUCAACUUCAUCUGUUUUUCUAUUAAGUAGAGAUGAUAAACUUAAAAUUCAUCCCACAACCUAAAAAAUGGAAAAAAGAAAAAAGAAAAAAAGGAGGUGGAUGUACAAAAUCCUUGCUAUGCCCUCUAUAUUUAACAAAAAAAUAAAUUGAGUUAACGGAUAUAAUUGAAGUACCACAUGAGAUUGAGUUUGAGAACCACAAUAAGAAAAUAAGAAAAACUAUUCUAGAAUGAAGGUAAAAUUCGUGACAACAAUGCCGUAUAUCUAAAAAAUAGUUCAUGCAUAUUUAGAUGUUAACACAUAGUCAUUUAUCUCGUUUAUUGAACAAACAACGAGGACAACAAUGUUGUUUUCUCUCUUUUGAAAUUCAUAAACAAAAUUGAGAUUUCUUGGUGACUCCUCUGUCCCUCAGGACCAACAAGGGGUAAUACAGGAAUAUUCACCUGUUGUCCAUUGACUAUGCCUUUUGGCCUGAUCUUAGGCCCCGACUCACUCUCCGUGGACAAACCUUGCGAAGGAACCUUUAGGUUUUCGGGGCAUCGGAUUUUCACCAAUGUUUGCGUUACUCAUGCCGACAUUCUCGCUUCCGCUCCGUCCACGUCUAAUUGCCAUUUUGUUUGGGCUUCUCCUUUCUGUUCUUACCGUCUCUUCCAUUUGGAAGCUUCUGGUCAUUAAUUUUUUUAGCUUCAUUAGAAGAUGCUCCCAUUUGGCCCCUGUAAGGAAUGAAAUUGAAUUUCGUGUUCAGCUAUUUAAAGAUUCAACUCUAAGUUUUGUCAAUAGCAAUUAAGUAAGAACAGGUAUGAUCAAGCUUAUAAACAAAUCACAACAACAUUACAAAUCAGAAACAUGUACAAGGUAAUGCAGUUAUAUCCAAUUCUUUUGUGCUUUCUCCACAAAAGUUCCUCCACAUUAACGUAACUCUAUAUCAAUUAAUCUAUCAUACAAGACUAGAAAUAAUCGGCAAUUGAAAAAUAAGACAACACGAGCUUCCGUCCAGUAAAAUUUUCAUCCAAAGACAGUAGGCAAAACCAAAAACGUACAAACCUUCAAUGCCGUUGUAUAAUCUCUCCCUUCCCAAUAUGCUCAUCAAGCAAUUCCGGCACAUUACCAGGAGUGGCGAAGGGAUACCUGCAAUUAAUAAUACAUAAUAUUCAUACUCCUUCAUCGAUCCCAAUACGAUAAAUUUUAAAUUGUUAUGAUCCAGAUAUUACCAAUGAUCUGUUAUGCUUCCAUCUGAACCUAGGUUGUAGAUAUCCAAGUUUCCAGCAUACUUGUGGCCUCCAAUGUGAAAGCAAGCAGUAACGAAUACCUGAUCCGUCAAUCCUCGCAGCUCAGCCUCCUGUUUGAACUUAUCAAUGAGAGUACGUGCAUGAUAACGAUCCCAUUUAUCUUGACUCAUACGUGCGCAUAUAAAUACAUAGGGGCCAGUCAGCGGCUCUUGCACUCCAGAAGCCCAUGGUUUGUGAUUCAUAAGGACAUCAUCAACAAAGCUGUCCACAUCCGACUCUUUCAAGCCCCUUUGAUCAACAAACAAAAACAACCUCAAAAUCACAAGAAAGGAUUUACAGGCAAGCAAUUAGUCGUAAACGGAGCCAUUAAAUUCAAUUUCUACAACUAAUUUCAGAAGCUAACACAUAUCUAAUUAUCCAUUUAGGUCAGUAAAUUCAUGUUGGUUAUGGAAUGGGCCCUCGAUUAUGAAUUAAUUACGGUUUGCCAUUGUGUGUGCUAGUGUGGCCCAUGCUUAACAGCUGGGUUGGGCUGCUGCAUUUAGGUGUGUGUUUGCUAGCUGGCUGGCUGGUGGGUGAGUCUUAGAUACAAACCCAAUCUUAUUAAUUAAAUUUGGCCUUUGGUGUGCUCAAACUGCUAUGGGGGAUGGUUAGAAUUUUGAGCCCGGGAUGCAGUAGGACCAAGAGCAAUCCACCACUUGCAGAAUUGUUGUCAAAGUAACUCUGCUAAAAAUAUGAGCUAUACUUCCUGCACUAUGCUUUUACUGUGAAGUGGAAAUAGUCUUUAGAGAGGCUUAUUUGGGAUAAUUGAUAAAGAGGUUUGUGUUUAAGACUUGAGAGUAGUGCGGUGUCUUUCUUGCUGGUUCUGCUCACACCACCUCAUCUAGCCAUUGUGAUGGAGUACACGGCUGGGUGAGAACACUUGGAGAGAAUAUGCAGUGCUGGCAGAUUUAGUGAGGAUGAGAUAAAGUAGUUUCCAACGCAGAGAAAAUUUCAUUGGAAAUGAUUUUAGUGUAGAGUCUCAAAUAUGGGAUCUCUGAAUGUCCCCUGAAAUGGAAUCCAUCUCAAUUUUCGUUUAGUUUCAGAUAGGGAAAGUUAGGUCUGAAGCAUUUUUACAUAAAUAGUCAGUCAUAAUAUAACUAAAACUUACUUUUUCGAUUUAAUUGUUGUUUUGCAUCAAGCAAGGUUUUUCUUCCAGCAAUUAUAUCAGGAGUUAGCUACUGUCAUUUAAUGGUAUGUAAUGUGGCACUUUUUUGCUAAUGCGUUGUAUACUGUUAUUUCUUUCUCUUUUGAUAUUGGAAGUGUUGGUUGUAUUAAUGAAAUAAUUCGUUUCAAUAGUAUAUGACUUAGUUUUAAUAGUAUUAUUCAGUUUUCUAAUAGCACUCGGGUGGGAACGUGGGUCGGCUCAUGUUUUAGUCUCUCCAUCGUAAGCAAUUUUACAUGGCAUUCUUCAAUGUGGCUAUAGGUAAGACAACACUCUCAGUAUUCCAUAAUCAAACCACCAUUUGAACUUUUUUCGUCCACCAAGUUAAGCUUUUAUGUGCCAUCUUGAAUAGUUAUAAGUUAUUGAUUCAGAUUGCUCCAGUGAGACAUUGUUGUUCUAUUGCUUACCUCUCAAGCUUGCUUAAUAUACUUAUUCUUAUUACUGUUGUAUUGUUAAGAAAUACUCAACUGCGAUUUCAGUUCAUUGUUAUGAAUCAGAUUCAAAUUAACCACUCACUAGUUAAUUAUCUAAAUCCUAUAAAUUUGGAUUAAAAUUAAAGCAACUCCAGAACAAAAACCUCAAGAAAUCGAUGCGAAUUUACCUGUAUUUGAUCAUUUGUGGGAAAAUCAACACAUCGCCGUCGGAAAACUCAGUUCCUUCAUGUCCUUCAAUUACAGUCAUCGACGUCUAUCAAAAAACCAAGAAAAAAAGUAAGUAACGGAGUCAGCUCAGCUCAACACCAGAACUCAGUAGCUCCAGGAAAUAAGAAACGUCAGAAACACCAACGAAUUGGGUUGGAAAACGGACCUUAAAGGUGAUGUCGUUCUUGCGAGCUUUGAGAGCGGAAGUGAAGAACUUAGGGAGUGGAUCGGACUUAGAGCCGUUGAUGCACCACGGCCAGGCCUCGGGGGUCUUGUAGCAGAAGAAAACGUGGCGAAUGUCCAACUGUGUAUCGUCAUCAGUGUCUUCAUCAGACAAAUCCCAUUUUACCAUAUCCACUCCUGUUUUGUUCUCCUUAAUUCUAUUAUCUCCUCCAUAAAAUUCCGCUUUUAGAAGAACCAUGUCACCGCCUUUCAGAUUGAGCUUCUUGUUUGAAAGAUUUCCCAACCAAAGAUAAUAUUCAUGGGAAGCAGUUACGGUGGCCUUCAUUGGCCAGAUGCGAAACUUAGUUCGCUGGGUACAAUUAACAACAUCAAUGCAUAGAGACCCGGUAGAGUCGGAGUUGUCUAAAGAAUAAACGAUGCCCAAAGCCAACCCUCCUAUAUAAUCAAUACUUGGCGGCACUUGAAAUUUGACAGUUUUAUCCUCUCCCGUGACAUAGGCUAACCAGUUAGGAAUAUCAUUUCCGGAGAGAAAAAUUCCACCAAAUGCAUUUCUCUACAACAUGGGGUGCAAAGUCAGUAUAAGCAACAAUACAGAGAGAGAGAGAGAGAGAGAGAGAGAGAGAGAGAGAGAUACCCUUCGGAGGUUCUCCUUAAAAGUAUCAGUGAGACUGGUACACCCUUCCAUAAGAAUUGAAUACAUGUGGUCCAAUGAGUUCUCCAAGUUUGGAAUAUCUUUGAGUUUGCGGCAGUUCGGCAAAUCUGACAUUGUUUUACCUAUAUUGCCCAUACCCCUAAUUCCAAUUAUUUGAACAUCAGGUGAACGUCCAACAUCUAAGUAUUCAGUACUGACGUCUAAGUAUUCAGUACUGAAGUUCUGCACACGAGAAGUCAUUCCAUCUGAGUGCUUGGCUUCUUUUAAGUCUGCAGUUUUCAAUAGUUCCUUGAUGUUCCCAACAAUUUUCUCGAUAAACACUCCUUCACGCCUACGAGUAGGAAUUCCAAAUUACGUGAGCCAUACUAAAUGCCUUAUUCAUAAUGACUAGAUAUUUACAUAUUGAAACAGAUUUGAAUAAACUGGAUUAAUUGAGCUCAAUUCAACCACGUAUCUAAUCUUCGAUUAUAAUGUAAAUACAUCAGAUCAUUGGUCAUCGGACUAUUACACAAUUGUAGCCUUCAGAUUUAUAAUUAAGAAUCCAUAACAAUUGGUAUUUUAAUUUGAUAAAGUGGAGCAUUUGUCCUUCACACACCCAUAAAAAACAAAGCACGACCCUACAUUUCACUUCCUUAAUUUCAAUGAAAAUUCUUAUGAAAAUGCUCUACCUUUUAUAAAAUUCAUAUACCAAUUAUAAUAAAUUUUUAUGUAGGGACCAAAAUUACAGUUCUAUCAUUGUUCAGGAUCAACGAUCCAAUUUUUCUUCUAACAUAUAAACUCAGAUCCAAUGCCUUAAUUAUAAAAUCUUAAUUUUGGUUGAUUAGUGAAAUAUGGUGAUACGAAAUUUGAAGUAAACAAAAAAGUAUACCCGUCGGCCGUGGUUUUGAGGUUCCAGCCAACCAAAUCUGCAGAAGCCUUAAGAUCCUCUCUCCACUGCUUGACCUCGUUUGGAUCUUCAUCCCAUUCAUGCUUCUGAAAUGCUUUCCCAAAACUAUCAUUCUGUUUCCUGACUUGAGAAGGGUCAACGUCGUAGAAUAUUGGACAUACUAUUUUCCCCUCUUGAUCUUUUAGGCACCUCAUGAUCUUCGACAGCUCCCUCAGGCACCAUCGGGACUCCGCGUACCUCUUCGAGAAGAUGAUGACGGCGAUUCUCGACCCUUCGAUUUCUUGGUCAAGUUCACUCUGUAUGUUUCCCCCCCUUGUGAGCUGGUAGUCUAUGGAAGUGUUGAUUCCGGCAUUGCGUAACGCAAUGAAGAGGUGGUCUGUGAAGGUAGUGCGCGUGUCGUCGCCUCUAAAGCUCAGGAACACCUCGUACUUCCACCGGUUUGAGCUCUGCGAGGAAGACGAAGAGGCUGCAACGCCGGCUCCAUGGGCGGAGCUGCUGGUAUCCAUUGUAGCCUGUAGAAGUGCAGCUUGGCUUUCAAAUAACCAAAGUCAAGUCUUUCCCAAGAUUCCCCGGUGUAGGCAGCCCUUUUAAAUUUUUUUGCAUGGGUCAAUGAUGUCACUGCCGUGUCGAUAACGUGUGAGUGCUAUUCCUCCGACAAUUUAAUUUGUAUAAAUGUCACCAUCAAAUUUUAAUAAAAAUUGUAUAACUGCUACGAUGCAAUUUCCUUUCUUCUGUAGUUUUUUUGAGAAAUCUGCUGCCCAAUUUUGACCAGUUGACGUGCGCAGGUCAAUCCAACUGUCCCUGCUGGUGGACGGAAGAAUCUUUGUUAGAGUAGGAAUUCCAAAUUACGCUUUAUUCAUAAUGACUAGAUAUUUACAUAUUGAAACAGAUUUGAAUAAAUUGGAUUAAUUGAGCUCAAUUCAACCAUGUAUCUAAUCUUCGAUUAUAAUGUGAAUACAUCAGAUCAUUGGUCAUCGGACUAUUACACAAUUGUAGCCUUCAGAUUUAUAAUUAAGAAUCCAUAACAAUUGGUAUUUUAAUUUGAUAAAGUGGAGCAUUUGUCCUUCACACACCCAUAAAAAACAAAACACGUACCCUACGUUUCACUUCCUUAAUUUCGAUGAAAAUUCUUAUGAUGUGACUGCCGUGUUGAUGAAAAUUCUUAUGAUGUGACUGUCGUGUCGAUAACGCGCGAGUGCUAUUCCUCCCACAAUUUAAUUUGUAUAAAUGUCACCAUCAAAUUUUAAUAAAAAAUUGUAUAUAACUGCUACGAUGCAAUUUCCUUUCUUUUGUGAGAAAUCUGCUGCCCAAUUUUGGCCAGUUGACGUGCGCAGGUCAAUCCAACUGUCCCUGCUGGUGUACGGAAGAAUCUUUGUCGGAGUAGGAAUUCCAAAUUACGUGAGCCAUACUAAAUGCUUUAUUCAUAAUGACUAGAUAUUUACAUAUUGAAACAGAUUUGAAUAAAUUGGAUUAAUUGAGCUCAAUUCAACCAUGUAUCUAAUCUUCGAUUAUAAUGUGAAUACAUCAGAUCAUUGGUCAUCGGACUAUUACACAAUUGUAGCCUUCAGAUUUAUAAUUAAGAAUCCAUAACAAUUGGUAUUUUAAUUUGAUAAAGUGGAGCAUUUGUCCUUCACACACCCAUAAAAAACAAAGCACGUACCCUACGUUUCACUUCCUUAAUUUCGAUGAAAAUUCUUAUGAUGUGACUGCCGUGUCGAUGAAAAUUCUUAUGAUGUGACUACCGUGUCGAUAAAGCGCGAGUGCUAUUCCUCCCACAAUUUAAUUUGUAUAAAUGUCACCAUCAAAUUUUAAUAAAAAUUGUAUAACUGCUACGAUGCAAUUUCCUUUCUUUUGUGAGAAAUCUGCUGCCCAAUUUUGGCCAGUUGACGUGCGCAGGUCAAUCCAACUGUCCCUGCUGGUGGACGGAAGAAUCUUUGUCGGAGUAGGAAUUCCAAAUUACGUGAGCCAUACUAAAUGCUUUAUUCAUAAUGACUAGAUAUUUACAUAUUGAAACAGAUUUGAAUAAAUUGGAUUAAUUGAGCUCAAUUCAACCACGUAUCUAAUAUUCGAUUAUAAUGUGAAUACAUCAGAUCAUUGGUCAUCGGACUAUUACACAAUUGUAGCCUUCAGAUUUAUAAUUAAGAAUCCAUAACAAUUGGUAUUUUAAUUUGAUAAAGUGGAGCAUUUGUCCUUCACACACCCAUAAAAAACAAAGCACGUAUCCUACGUUUCACUUCCUUAAUUUCGAUGAAAAUUCUUAUGAUGUGACUGCCGUGUCGAUAACGCGCGAGUGCUAUUCCUCCCACAAUUUAAUUUGUAUAAAUGUCACCAUCAAAUUUUAAUAAAAAUUGUAUAACUGCUACGAUGCAAUUUCCUUUCUUUUGUGAGAAAUCUGCUGCCCAAUUUUGGCCAGUUGACGUGCGCAGGUCAAUCCAACUGUCCCUGCUGGUGGACGGAAGAAUCUUCGUUGGAGUAUCAAUGGGAAGAGACCUCAUCUCCAACAACCUAUCUUAACAAAAGAUGCAGAAAAUUAAACGCCAAGAGGCUACUUUCUUUAUUUUGUGAACAGUAACGAACUAGAAGGAUCAGUGUCGUAAAAUAAGUAAUUUACUUGCCCAAAAUAAGAAUCAAUUUAGCUACGAAACCAAGGAGAUGAUUGAGCUCAAGAUAGCAGCUUUUAUCCUAUCGUCUUGCAAGGAAAACAAGCUACGAAUUGCUUGCAUCAUCCGAAGCUAUCCAACCAAUGGUUGAAUUUCUCAGUCAAGACUAUGCUGAAGGCAUCAGUGUGCAGGCCAGACUCGAUAGCAUAGCCACACUAAACCUCUCGCGCUGCCAUCAGAUUAUUUUGUCUCAGGUCUCUUCGGGCGUAGUGUUCUCAGUAAUAAUCCAAGGCUUGGAAAAAUCAAGCCAACCGGUUGAGAAGGCAAUUGUGCUACUUGACGACAUUGUUUCUUCAUCGAAGACUGCGCUCAAGGAAACUGCAGGUACGUGCAGCACAAUCUGGGUGCUGGUUGAGACAAUCGAAGGGGGAUCGAUGAAAUGCAAGGAGCACGCAGCGAGUAUACUCCUGCUUAUAUGCAAGAGGUGCAGAGAGAACUACAGAGGACUGAUACUGAGAGGAGGAGCAAUGCCCGGACUGCUUCAGCUGAGUGGAUGGGACGCGCACGGCUAACACUGCGGCAUGGAAGUUGCUGUUUCUUUUGACUGUUCCAAUUAUGGUUCGAGAAACAAGCAAUCAAGGAAUAAGUUGACGGUGUGAGUACAACGGCAUUGAGACCGUUCCAAUUAUGCAGGAAAUUGAUGCAGAAGGAGAAAAAGUUGACAGGGUGAGUACAACGGCAUUGAGGCUGGUGGAGGACAUGCUUGCAGAGAUCAGCAGUGGACGAUGAUCUCGACCAAAUUCUGAGCUUUACCAAGAAGAUUAAAAUGUUGGAACAGCCGUUUAUCUCGUUUAUUGAACAAACGAUGAGGACAACAAUGCCGUCUAGCCUCUUUCAAAAUUUAGACUUCUUUCUCAUAAAAAUUGACAGAAUCUACGGUUGAAUUAAAGUCCAACAGGCAAAUUGAAAACAAUCACAAGAGCUUAGAAAAUACCACACCAACAUUUGGCCAGCAGUCUCACAACAAAUCCCACUGUCAAGAUAAAACCAUUCAACAGUGUAUUGGAACAACAAAUUUCAGUUGUGUAAGCAAUCAACAUAAAGGAACACUGAAUACUUUUGUAACUAUAUAUGGAUUAGCUUCGGGAAUUCAUCAAACCCUCCAAAAAAGAACGUAUAGUGUAGCUACCAUAUUCUCCUUUCAUAUAAGAGCUUAUUUAAUUAAUGUUAUAACACCUUUCUACCAAGAAAAAAAAGAAGAAAAUACGGCCUCUACACCCGUGGCAAAACCCGACAUGGAUUAGAGUACGUUUCAGCCUAACCUUCUGUAAAAGCUAUAGGCCACAGCCACUGUUACCACUGCUCCAACCACGGCAGCAGCUGCGAGAACAUCGCUUUGCUCCCAGUUCCCGAUCAAGCUUGACAGCUUCCCUAGGGAAUCCUUCCUGGCACAAGACUCUCUGGUUUCUUUCACCUUCUUUUCCUCACUUCCAUCGUUCUGCUCUAAACUUACUUCUUUGCAGCAUGUAAAUCCUUUACUAUUUGCACCCUGGCAACAGCCUGAAAGGUUCUCAUUAUUCUGAAUCUGAUUGCCGUUUUCUUGGGGCUUCUCCUCGAUUUUCUUUCUCCUCCAUUUGGAAGCUUCUGGUCAUUAAUUUUUUCAGCUUCAUCCGAAGAUGCUCCCAUUUUGCCCCUGUAAGGAAUGAAAUUGAAUUUCAAGUUCAGCCAUAUAAAGAUUCAACUCUAUGUUUCAUCAAUAGCAAUCGAGUAAGGACAUGUAUGAUCAAGCUUAAUAAACAAUUUGACAACAGUGCCUACUUGACCCCGGCCCCCCUUCCCCAAAACCACCUUUGGUUUGGUUUAUCUAUAAAAA
Molecule: long non-coding RNA, 56253 nt
Filed under: Malus domestica (apple)
Lineage: Eukaryota; Viridiplantae; Streptophyta; Magnoliopsida; Rosales; Rosaceae
Description: long non-coding RNA (MDOM_LNC007845)
Source: RNAcentral